GCUACAGCGCCAUUAAGGAGGAUUGGAAUAAAGUUUCACCACCCCUCUUCUUUCUUGCUCUCAAUCGCCUAGUGCAUUCUUGGCCUAGGGUUAAGGGUGCAUCUGUCAAGGUUAUUAGUGACACCUAUGCCUUCAUUCCCCCAACGUGGAUCCCUAAACUCCUGUCUUUGGCCGUCUCCGAUGCUGGAAAAUAUCCUUAAUUGAAGAUCCAUAAUUAUUAAGUUCUAUCUAUGGAAUAAGACCCAUGCUAUAUCUAUUAAUUCUAUGUGUGUGUUCCUUCUGCCUAUAUCUAUAUAUGUUGUGCGUGCAUUUGAAAAAACAAUGCAUGGCAUGCAUAUUUGUGCUCUGUUAAUGCCUACGUGCAUCUUUGUCUCAUCAAUAAAAUAUAUUAUAUGUCUUUGUGCUUCAUAAUAAUGUGUAUGGGCCUAUUACUAUGAAGCAAAGUUGUAGUAUCAAUUCAGACUGGUUUGAUCCACAAUCAGUGUCUAAACCAAUUUGAGCUAGUAUUUGAAUGACCAUUCAUGCUACUCAAAUCCACCAAGGUUGACCUGAUUGACCAAGUUUUUUAAAUAUUUAAUUGAUAUGUUAUUUAAUAUAAUUUAUAUAUAUUUGUUUUUUUAAGAUCAGUGACCCAGUCUAAGUUGACCAAGUUUUUUAAAUGUUUAAUUGAUAUGUUAUUUAAUAUAAUUUAUAUAUAUAUUGUUAUUAUUUUUAUAUGGAAUAGACUUCUAUGGGUCUACGAGUCGAAUCAUUGAGUCUUUAAAACUUUGACGAAUUUAUGUAGACUCCUGAUCAAGUUUGAUAACAUUAAUGUCAACUUUACUUGUGGGAUGAGCUUGUAACCAUCCAUUAGUGAAGAUCUCUCUCCAUGUUUUAUCCCCCCUUAAUUUACCGAUAAUUAUAAUUCUCCUAAAAUAAAAUAAUAAAUUCUAAUUCACGUUUAGUAAAAUUCGAAUAAGAAAUAUAUUAAAAACUAAUAUACUUGCAAUCUUCCAAAAUAUUAUAUAAUCUCAAUAGGUUUAAAUAUGUUGUUGGUACCUGUAAAUUAGUCUUUUUUAUUUAUUUUUUGUCCUUUUAAAUGUAUUUUUCUAAUUUUAGUCCCUGAAAGUUGUUUUCUAAAUUUUAAUUCCCGUAAGUUUUUGUUUAUUUUUAGUCCUUGUAUUGUAAGUUUAUGUUUUUUCAAUUUUAGUCCCUUUAAGAUUGUAAUUUAUUCAUUUGUAAUCUGCAUAAGUUCAUGCUUAAUUACAAUGACCAAAAUUAUAUUGAAAAAAUACAAAUUUACAGGGACUAAAAAUAAAUAUAAAAAUUUACAAGGAUGAAAAUGAAAAAAAACACAUACUUAUCAAAACUAAAUAUGAAUAAUUUUUUCACAAAGAUCAAAAUUUAAAAAAAAAUACAAACUUACAAAAAGAAAAAUGUAUUUAAGUCAUAUAAUAUGAUGAUUUAAAUAUUUAUCAUUCAAUAUCGAGAUUUUAGUUAAUUGAACUAAAUGUAUUUAAAAGAGAUUUAAUUGAUAUGAAUUUACAAUUAAAGUAUCAAAAUUAAAAUUUAUCAACUAUUAUUUAUCAAUAAUCAAUGAUAAUGAGUUAAAAUCAUAAUUUAGACAUUCUUAAAUCAUCUUUUCAUGUCAGAUAUCAGAAAAAACAUAUUUUUGAAGAAAAUAUUGAUUAGGUUCUUCGAAUGAAAAUUGAUUUUGAGGGUGUAAUAACCAAAAUGGAUUUUAAUGUCUAUGUACACUCAAUUUUCUAUUAUAAUUAGUUAUAUAUAUAUAUAAUUAAAAUUAAAUGGACAUAAUUAAAAUUAAGAUAAUAUGUGUAUAAUAUGCUAACUUGAAGGCAAUCGGAUUCAAUAAUGAAAUCAUCAAUCCCAGAUCUUUGAGCCAUUAGAAGGCUACCAACAUGGCUAGGGCCUUCCUUUCAUGAGUUCAAACGGGGAAGUGUGAGAUAAAGCCAUGACAAAGUGACCUCUAUCAUCCCUGAUACAACAACCAACUUAAAAGAAUUUUCUUAUUCGACAAAAGCAGCAUCAAUAUUGCAUUUUAAAGUCCUUAGAGGAGGAGGUUCCCACCUUACUACCAUCAGAUUUGCAUUGGGUCUUAAGUAUGACUUCUCAAUCACUCAAGCUUUUCUCCAAAUCUCUUACAACAAUUCUAUUUUACAUACAAGCUUAGUGCUACAUGCUAGGCUAAGCGUGUAGGCACUUAUGCAGAAAUAAGAGUGCAACACAUUUGACCCUAUUUAAGCUCCAAGGAUGCAAAUAGAAGGUAGAUAACUUGUUGGGGGACUAUCUAGGGUUUGAGGUUGCAGGUGCAAAGCUCUCCCUUUCCCUCCAUGGCUUCCCUACCAUUUCUCGUCAUCUAUUUUCUUCUUGUAGUUAGGUUUACCCAUUUUAGGUGUUGAUGUAGUUGAAUCCAUCCUGAUGUUUACAUUUUGAUUAUUAAUGUAUGUUUAUUGUUCAUUAUUAUGUGCUUUCCUCUAUGCAUUAAUGUUUGCUUUAUCUUGACCACCCUUUUCUUGAUGUUGUGGUUUGAAUUGUUAGUGGAAAAUGCUUUGGAAUUUAGAAAUAUAGAGGAACACCUAAUGCGUUUUGUGUCUAGAGAUAGAACAAAGCAUGUUAGUCAUCUUUUAACUCUUGUUUUUAAAGCAAGUCAUUUGGGUAGAUUAGUCAAGGAAUUGGUAGUUUGGUCAAGGGGCUUAGAUUCUUUCCAUCCGAGGGAUCGGGGUUUGAGUAUUUUUGUGAGUUGAUUAUUAUAAUUGUGCUUUGAACUAGAUUAGUGAUCUUUUUUAGCAUGAGGAGGUGGUUUAGUGAAAUCAACCCUAAUUCUUUUAUUCUUUGUUAUUUUACUUCUUUUUAUCGCACUCCAAGUGUUCAUAAAAAUUUCCCAAAAAUAGUUUCUUAUUCUUUUUCUCUUGAACUUUAUGUUUAUUUCAUUUCCUAUUAUUUAUAUUGUUACAAUCAAAUUCUAAUUGUUUCUAAAAGCCAUAGUUAGUCAAUAUUCACUACUAGAAAAGCGAGAUUCUACAUCGGUUAUCGUGAGCAUUCUACAUCGGUUGACGACCGUCGUCGUAGCCAAUGUCAUAAAAAGGGAUAGCCUUUUCCAUUUUAGAAUGCUGAACAUUCUACCUGCACCAAAUUUACAAUUGGUUUCCAAAGUAUCAGUAUCACAUUCAAUCACAUGAUAAGAAGCAAAGUUUUCACAAAGUAUCAUGCAUAUCAAAAUUUAUGGGGUUUGGUCCCCAACUUCACACAAUCUAGUAUUCCUAAAAUAACAAUAUAGUAAUAAAAACUAACAAUUAUUAGAUCUGCUUACAAGUACAACACAAUGAUUUACUUGUGAUCGAAGAACUUCCUUGUAUGUUCCAAUUUCUCGUAAGGCUAUGGUGAAUUUGGUCAUAACAGGGUCUGGAAUAGAAACUCAGUCAUAAAUCAUUUCAUCACCAUUAGACUUUUAGAGUUAAAAGUAACAUCCAGACUUAAAAUCAUUUCAUAACAGGGCCUGCAAGCGAAUAUGUAAGAUUGCUGAAGUUGUCAAAGCCAAGAAAACAUUAGAAAACUUCCUAUUGCAAGAUUGCUGUAUAUAAACAAUACAAGGAAUGAGCUUGUCCUUGCAUAGAACUGCAAGUUGUGCUAUUUCCAAUGAUGAAACCUGCAAAAGAUGUAUCAUGAUGAAAAUAUAUAAUUUUUCUACUCAAUUAAUAUUGCUGAAGAACAUUGGAAGUUGUCAAAGCCAAGAGUGUCAAGCAAAUAUGUAAGAGCAACCUUUGUCCCAGUUUCCAGUUGGACGUAUCUCCAUAAACUAAUCAAGGAUGAAGGAUGUAAGGUCAAAAGUUUAAGAACUAAACAUUAUUGUAUUCAUCAAUAGCAAUUUUAGUUUGGUACCUUUCUUCCUCCUGAUAUGUAAAAUCGGGGUAAGCUUUCAUAAUAGUCUUCACCAUUUCUUUGAGAACACCAACUUCCUAUAAAUUUUUUUUGAAGAAACACAAUUUCAUAAGCUUAUAUAUGAUCCUCAUAUUUUCACAUUAGAUUUGUCAAUCUAGUUUGUAUCUUAGUACCUCUUCAUUUUUCACACACCGGUAGUGUACAGUGACACAAAAUCUAUUAUCCUCAAUCAUAGAGUCCUUUAUUCUUCUUGUAUUUUCUUUCAAAACCUUACUAUCUGCAAGACAUAAAUGGAACAUUCAGGAACAGAGGCAAAUGAUAUAUGAAGGCUUAAUCUCUUCACAUGUGCAAGGGAAAAAAUUAAGGGACAAUUUGAAUUAGGCUUAUACUUUAUAGGAGCUUUUCAAUCGUCCAACUUCCUUAAUUAAUAACCUAUUUACUUUUUAUAUCAUUAACUUUUAUAAUAAUUAUUUUAAAAUUUAUACUUGACUGAGUGAAUUAAUACAACCUCAAAAACAAAAGGAAAAUAAUACAACCUCAAAAAAGCUAGGAUGAUAUCUAAUGUCUACAUAGUGCAAUAUUUUGUUGACUGAGUGAAUUACCUUAUCCUUGCUCCUUCCACUAACAACGGCAGUGGGAAAACAAUUGACAACUUCACAUACAGCUGCACGCAUCUGCAAAACAGUUGGCAGCUUCCUAUAAAUUUAUUUUAUUUUUACUUACUAAUCAUGUAUAAUAAAUUUAAAAUAAUUACUUUAAAAAUCAUAUAAAUAAUUAUUUUUUAUUAAUUGAUAAUGUAAAAAAAUUUACCCUAAUAGUAUAUAAACAUUAAACUUUACACGUAUAUAAAAUCAUAUUAAUAUUUAUUUAAGAGUCUUGUUAAUAAUAUCAUUAGGGUACUUGUUAAGAAAUCAAUAAGUAAAUUUUUUAAAGUUCAAAUAAUACACUGUUAUACUUUCUAAUAAAAAAUCGCUUUUGAUUCAUUAAUUAAUUUCCUAACAACAACAAUUAGCAUUGGUAAAAAAAUAACAAAAAUAGUUAGCCUUUUGCUUUAUUUAAUAAGGUGUAUUUAGGUGAUGUUUGAAAAGAACUAGCACUAAACUUACACAACAAUGUCUACAGUUGAAAAAUCGUUUUAAGAUAUAAAAUGGAUGUUAACAGUUGAAAUAUGAUUGAAGUGACAUUUUUGUUUGAUAAGUUCUUAUUAAAUUAGUGAGAAUUAAUCUAUUUAUGCACGUUACAAAUGUAUUAAGGAUUUCUAAUUCAAUUGCUCGUGCAGACUUUGUAUCACCAUACUUAGACAAUUGUUCAUUUUCCCUAUUUCAACAUUAACUCAUUUUUGUAUAGCUGCAUCUUACUUAACUUCAUUACUGAAAACGGGAGUAAAUAUUAGGACUGGUACCUAAAAUUUUCCAAUGUCAGAAGCUGUGUGAUUUCGUUGAACAAUUCUUCGUUAAAUGUAACAAACACUUUCAAAUCCUUCACUAAUAUUUCUACAGCCUUGGACCAGUCAUGCCUACGAAAAUUUAAAACAGUUCAACUAAACUUGUCAGCUAGUAGUAGAAGCCUAGAACUAGGAUGCAGAGAAAGAGAGAGUCAACAACAGAAUCUAAAUGUGAACUUGUUAUGAGCUUACUUAUCUAAAGCCUCCAGAUACUUCUGCUUCCUUAUCUCAAAAAAUAUCUUCAUAGAAUACCUAUUAUCAUCCACCUUUGUGAAACCAGAGAGGUAUUUCUCCACCUCAUCCCAAUUGCCAUUGUGCACUUCAUCCUCAAAAUAUGAAUGUUAAAGAAAAACGCUGACUCCUGCUCAAGCCUAUUAUUAUUUUUAACAAAAAUAAAACAAGUUAAUUAAUGCAGCUGGUCUCACAUUCAAAUUCCUGCGAGAUAUAUACCAAUGAGGUAUUUCUCCACCUCAUCCCAACUCUACAUGACAAAAGAUCAAAAUUAGAUACUGACUUUUCAAACCUAUCCAAGCCCAGUUUAAAAGGGAAAAGGGACAUGAGAUUAAUAUUAGCACAACCAACUGAAAUUUUACCAGCAAUCAAUUCACUGAGAGAACAGGUGUAUAACAAAAAACCAAAACAUAUAAAUCAGAAAGUCUCCCAAAGCUAAUACUAGGUGGCUCUGAAGCUCACUCACUUGUAAAGGUAAAAACCAUGUAUGUUGUUUUCACUCAUAGUAAUACUAUCAGAGUAGGAAUUAUGAAACUUACAAGGGAUGAAGCUGGCACUCCAAUUUCUUCAACUACUUCAUGAACAAUGCUGUAAAAAAUCUCCUGUGAAACCUUAACGUUAAUAGAUUCUGUUAACUCCUUGUCAUAUUGAUGAGAUGUUAUACCAAUUUCUUGAGGCUGUCAAUCAGUAAUAAAGAAAAAUCAACGUAUAGCCAAGUCAUCGCAUAAAUUUUAUGAACAUGAAAAAAUUAUGGGCUUCUAUUCAGUAAUCAAUUAAUCAUUGAACAGAAGACAAUACAGUAAAGUAGAAAGAGCAAAAUACAAUACGGUACAGCAAAAAGGAACAUAUAUCAUGACAAAUAAAUGCAUCACACCCCCAUAAAUGAAAUUAAAGACUUCUUUUUGAACUAACUGUCCAUUACAUAUCUAUUGUAGAAAAUAAAGGUACUACUGCAACACUAGAUAGCAGCAACAGAAAGGAUUUAACACAUCCACUUCACCAUUGAAUACCUCAGGGUGGCCUCCAGGGAAAACAAAAUGUCCAGGAAAUUCAUCAACAUUAUUACUUCAUUGUAAUACUAGUAUUUUGUUGUCAUUUGUCUCUACCACUGCACCAUUUCCUAGUGGGCUGGAGGUGUGCUGACAAAGAACAGAAUCAUCUGAGGAGAAAUAAGGAUGAAGCCAAAAGAUUGACAAAUAAAUCAAUACCAAUUCAAAGCAAAGAAAGGAUGGAAGAGGAUGAGGCAGAGCGAGAGGGAACAUAACUCAACCCUCAUCCCCUUCCUGAUGAUUUUAUUGGACAUCAAAGCAACUUCAAUUUGAAAGUUAGGAGUCACAUUAUCCUAAGUUCAGGUGCUAACAGUUUAAGGUCACAGGGUAACCACAAAAUAGUAGUACUUGAGUUAAAAAGAAGGCAGAAAAUUGUAAUGAUUUACCUUCUAAUGGAAACAGGAACCUUUCCCACAUAGGACUUAAAUUUGUCCCCACAAAAGUCCUGGAAGAAAUUUUAACCAAUAAUUAAUAAAUAAAGGGAAGUAGAACUGAAGCAAAAAUAAAUCCAAGGAGAGAAUAGCAAUAAGAUUCAACUACAACAAAAAUAAACGAUUUAAUCAUAAUUAACACAUAAAUAUAACUUUGUCAUCAUUGAUUUGACUAUUUUCUCUUCACGGAAGCAAACCCUAAUACGAUGACACAUAUGAAUGCGAUUUUUUAUUAAAAAAGGGGGAAAUGAAAACAACCUACCUGCCAGAGUAUAAGAGGAUUGGUUGUCUUAGCAGCGGGAGAGUGGUCAGCAUCAGGUUCAGCUUGCAGAGGCGAAGAAACAACCACCGCCACUUGGGUUUUCGGAAACUGUUGAUAUGAACCCUCAUGGCACAAGGGCUGACUUAGGAUCGUCUAGGAUUAAACCUUGGUGGAAAAUGUGGAAAUUGAUUAAGGAAAGGAUGACGAAUAAGGUGGUUAAUUUCGUAGGUCUUAAUAAGGUGGUUCUUGGCAUAAAAUGGAAUAAUGAGAUAAGAAAACGUAGGUUAAGUGGUGGCUGGACAGAAAUAUAGAAAUGACAAAAACUCAAGCUACAUGGCUCCAAAUGUGGUGAUUCCAAAACGAGGUGAAAGGACUCGUCUUGAAAUUCAAUUUAGGCUCAAGAAUCACUUAAUUUGAGUGCGUAAAACGGGAGUUAUGACCACGAGAUAAUUCUGGGCAGAGGUGGAUUUUCUGGAAUUGUGAUUUGAAAGAACAAGGUUUGUAAGCAUUGUCAUUGAUUCUUUCAAGCACUUGAAAUGGUCCAUCUCCCCUUGGUUGAAGCUUUGAUUUCCUUUGUUCCGGAAACCUUUCUUUUCUCAUGUGCACCCAAACCCAAUCUCCGGGUUCGAAGACAACCUUCUUUCUCCCUUUGUUGGCUUGUUUAGCAUAGCUUUUAUUUUUCCUCUCAAUUUGAUCUUUGACUCUCUCAUGAAGCUUCUUCACAUAGUCCGCCUUUGCUUGACCUUCUUUAUGCUUAAAAACAGAAACAUUAGGCAUAGGCAAAAGAUCAAGAGGAGUUAGUGGGUUAAAACCAUAAACAACUUCAAAAGGAGAACAAUUAGUGGUGCUAUGAACAGCUCUAUUGUAAGCAAAUUCAACAUGGGGUAAACAAGCUUCCCAAGUUUUCAAGUUCUUCCUCAAAAUUGUCCUAAGCAAAGUUCCCAAAGUCCUAUUAACAACUUUCGUUUGCCCAUCGGUUUGUGGGUGACAAGUGGUUGAAAAUAACAAUUUAGUGUCCAACUUGCUCCACAAAGUCCUCCAAAAAUGACUUAGGAACUUAGAGUCCCUAUCACUAAAAAUGCUCCUUGGCAAACCAUGGAGUCUCACAAUCUCCUUGAAAAACAAAUCAGCCACAUGGGAAGCAUCAUCAACUUUUUUACAUGGAAUAAAAUGAGCCAUUUUAGAAAACCUAUCAACAACCACAAAAAUGGAAUCUCUACCAUUGCUUGUUUUUGGCAGCCCCAAAACAAAAUCCAUGGAUAAAUCAAUCCAAGGAUACUCCGGAAUUGGCAAUGGAGUAUACAAUCCAUGAGGCUUUACCUUAGACUUUGCCUUUUUACAUACAAUGCAAUGUUCACAAAAUUUCUGCACAUCCUUUUUCAUAUGAGGCCAAUAAAAAUGUUCUUGUAAUGUUUCUAGAGUCUUUUGGACCCCAAAAUGCCCCAUUAAACCUCCUUCAUGUGCUUCACAAACAAGCAAAUUUCUAGUAGAACAUUUAGGCACACACAAUUUGUUUUCUUUGAAAAGAAAGCCUUCAUGUCUAAAGAAACCAUUUUCUGAAAAUUUUUCACAAUUUUUAAAAAUUUCUCCAAAAGUUUCAUCAUUUUCAUACAUGCUUUUCAAACAUUCAAGACCAAUCAAUUUUGUUUCAAGCAUAGAAAGUAAUGCAUGACGCCGAGAAAGAGCAUCGGCUACAAUAUUACCUUUUCCCUUUUUAUGUUUGAUAACAUAAGGGAAUUGCUCUAGGAAUUCCACCCACUUCGCAUGCCUUUUGUUAAGCUUGCCUUGCCCCUUGAUAUAUUUGAGGGACACAUGGUCACUAUGAUGACAAAUCCCUUGGGAUAAAGGUAGUGUUGCCAUGUUUUCAAAGCCCGUACUAAGGCAUACAACUCCUUAUCAUAAGUUGAAUAGUUAAGGGUAGGACCACUUAACUUUUCACUAAAAUAAGCAAUUGGAUGGCCUUCUUGCAUCAACACAGCCCCAAUCCCAACAUUUGAAGCAUCACACUCAAUUUCAAAAGAUUUUUGAAAGUUUGGCAACGCAAGUAUGGGGGCAUUAGUUAGCUUUUGCUUAAGAACAUUGAAAGCUUCUUCUUGUUUCUCUCCCCAUUUGAAACCAACAUUUUUCUUGAGCACUUCAUUGAGAGGUGUUGCCAAUGUGCUAAAAUCCUUCACAAAUCGUCUAUAAAAACUUGCUAAGCCAUGAAAACUCCUCACCUCGGUCACGGACUUAGGUGUAGGCCAUUCUUGAAUAGCCCUAACCUUCUCCUCAUCAACUUGUACUCCUUUUGAACUCACAACAAAACCAAGAAACACAACAUGGUUAGUACAAAAGAUGCAUUUUUCAAGAUUGGCAUACAAUUGUUCUUCUCUAAGCACAGUCAAGACAGAGUUUAAAUGAUCAAUAUGCAAAUCAAGUGAAGUGCUAUAGAUAAGAAUAUCAUCAAAGUACACCACAACGAACUUUCCUAUGAACUCUCUCAAGAUAUGGUUCAUUAGUCUCAUGAAAGUGCUAGGAGCGUUAGUUAGGCCAAAAGGGAUAACCAACCAUUCAUACAAACCAUAUUUUGUUUUAAAAGCAGUUUUCCAUUCAUCCCCUUCUCUAAUCCUAAUUUGAUUGUAUCCACUUUUUAAAUCGANNNNNNNNNNNNNNNNNNNNNNNNNNNNNNNNNNNNNNNNNNNNNNNNNNNNNNNNNNNNNNNNNNNNNNNNNNNNNNNNNNNNNNNNNNNNNNNNNNNNAGGGCUCUACAAUCGGAACACCAUGCCGCCCUGUCCCAUCCUUUUUAGGACCAAAAUCACUGGGACAGCACCAAGGACUCAUACUAUCUCUACCCAACCUUUGCUAAUGAGUUCAUCCCACUUGUCCUUUGAAUCCUCUUUGGUUUCUUGUGGAUUACUUCUAUAGGCUGGCCUAUUGGGCAAAGAAGCUCCCAGAAUGAGAUCAAUUUGAUGCUCAAUUCCCCUCAAAGGUGGUAGUCUACUUGGCACAUUUGGUGGAAACAUGUCUUGAAAAUCCUGCAAAAGAGUUUUAACACUAGAAGGCACUUCAAAAUCAUCAAAAGUGUUAGUGGUCAAAAUCUGAUUUUUGCAAAAUAAGAUAUAUAGUGACUGUUUAGCACGAAACAACCUCUAGACCUCACUUUUUGUGGCUAAAUAGCUCUCCCUCACUUCAAGUGUUUCACUCUUCUUUUGUUCACUCUUUUUCCUCUCAAGUGUUUCCCUCUUUUUCUCACUCUCAAGUGUUUUGCUCACUUUUUCUUUUUCUCUUUUCUCUUGAAGAAGUUUUUCUCUCAUUUUCUUUUGAUCCUCACAUACUUCUUGUGGACUCAAUGGCUUGAGCACAAUCUUUUUGUCUUGGUGCAUGAAAGAGAUCUUGUUGGUGUAACCGUCAUGAUUGGCUCUUUUAUCAAAUUGCCAUGGUCUCCCCAAAAGUAUGUGACUGGCCUCCAUAGGAACAACAUCACAAAGUACCUUAUCAUUGUAUUUCCCAAUGGAAACGUCCACUUCAACUUGCUGCCUCACUUGCACCUCCCCAUCCUUACUAAGCCAUUGAAGUUUGUAUGGCCUAGGAUGUGGUUUAGUAGCUAAAUUUAGCUUUGACACUAAUCUAGCACUAGCCACAUUGGUGCAACUACCUCCAUCAAUGAUCACCAUGCACACCUUGCCAUUGAUUAAACAUCUAGUGUGAAAGAUGUUUUCUCUUUGGCUCUCCUCCUCAUGCUUCAAUUGACCACCAAGUAACCGCCUAAUCAUCAACAAAUCUCCCUCCGGAGUCUCCUCUUCCUCUACGUACUCACUCUCCUCUUCCUCUUCAACAUCAGAUUCACUUAUAUAUUCUCCAUCUCUAAGAACCAUGGACCUUUUGUUAGGGCACUCAUAAGCAUAGUGUCCUAGGCCUUGGCACUUGAAACACUUCACAUCUCUACUCCUUUUAGAGGGUUCCUCUUGGGACUUUGAGCGAGUUUUUGAUGGGAUAGGUGUGGAACUACUAGAAGUAGCAGCCCCAUCUUUCUUACCUUUGUCUUUCCAACUAGAAGAACCAAAGUUGGUAAAACUCCUAUUAGCCACUCCUUUCCUUUUUAAUUGUUGCUCUACUUGGAUUGCUUUGUGAAGCAAAUCAUCCAUUUCAACAAACUCCUGCAGCUCAACAAUAUCACGAAUAUCAUUAGUCAAACCAUUAAGAAAUCGAGCCAUAGUUACCUCCUCAUCUUCUUCAAUCUUUGCUUGAAUCAUGAGCACAUCCAUUUCCUUGAAAUACUCCUCAACCCCCUUGUUGCCUUGGGUUAGUUUUUGGAGCUUGAAUUUCAAGUCCCUUGAGUAACUAGCUGGCACAUAUCGCUUCCUCAUGAUCUUUUUCAUCUCCGUCCAUGUAUCAACCAUUGGCUCUUCAUUUCUUGCUCUCUCCUUUUGUAGCUUGUUCCACCACACAAGAGCAUAGUCGGAAAACUCUGUGGCGGCAAGCUUCACCUUUUGGUCCUCCUCAUAGUUGUUGCAUGAGAAAACAUGCUCUAUUUUCAUCUCCCACUCCAAGUAGGCCUCCGGAUCAUUCUUUCCUUUAAAGGGGGGAAUGUUGAGUUUAAUACCAUCAAUUCGGUUUUGUCUAGGAACACCAUCAUUCCCUCUUCUCCUCCUUUCUUCUUCAUUAUGAUCUCUAUUCUCCAUUUGAUCCAACCUCUCAUGGAGCGCAUCAUCUCGUUGUUUCAUUAACCUCUCCAUAUGUUGCAUCAAAGCUUGCAUUUGGAAUUGCGAAAGCCCCACUCCAUCAUUAGGAUUAGUACCUGACAUCUCAAACAAACAAAUCAAACGUAACAAGACAAUUAUAGUUUCUGUUUGAAUACCUCACCCACUCAAGUGUAUCACACAAUUAUGGCUUUUCUCUAAUGAAACACUCUUGCCUUUUACCACUCUAAUUCCCCUUGAGUUCUUAGGCAAUUCAAGAGAUUAUGGCCACAACAAAGAACAAUUCACCAAUAUGUGUAAGGUAAGGCUAGAGAGACAAGGAAAAGGUUAACCAAGAAAAAGGCUAACAAUGUUUUUAGGCACAAAUGAAGGAAAUAAAAUUCAGAAUUUAGGAAUUCAAGUAACAAUCCUUCAUGCAACCAAUAUAUUACCUUAAAGAGAUUUUUUUUUUAAAGUUCUUCAAGCAUGAACCAUUCAGCCCAAUUUUUUUUUUUAAUUUUGCUUAUACGAAAUUCUGCUUCUUCUUUUUUUUUUUUUAUAACAAAGAGAUCAAAAGGCUUAACUUUUGCAAUGGUUCAGCCUAAAAAAAUAUAUAUAUAUGAAUAAGAAGGUAAUAUAAAUGGCAAAGAGAAUAAAGAAGGAUGUUACCCAAUAUUUCCAGCAAAGGAAGUGUUGAUCCUAGAACCGGAGCUCUGAUUACCAAAUGAUAUGAACCCUCAUGGCACAAGGGCUGACUUAGGAUCGUCUAGGAUUAAACAUUGAUGGAAAAUGUGGAAAUUGAUUAAGGAAAGGAUGACGAAUAAGGUGGUUAAUUUCGUGGGUCUUAAUAAGGUGGUUCUUGGCAUAAAAUGGAAUAAUGAGAUAAGAAAACGUAGGUUAAGUGGUGGCUGGACAGAAAUAUAGAAAUGACAAAAACUCAAGCUAUAGGGCUCCAAAUGAGGUGAUUCCAAAACGAGGUGAAAGGACUCGUCUUGAAAUUCAAUUUAGGCUCAAGAAUCACUUAAUUUGAGUGCGUAAAACGGGAGUUAUGGCCACGAGAUAAUUCUGGGCAGAGGUGGAUUUUCUGGAAUUGUGAUUUGAAAGAACAAGGUUGAAGAUGAAAGGAAGGAAAAAAUCACUCUUUCCGGCGAGGGCAACACACAAAGGUUGUGAAAGUCCUUUGAUACAGCCAGGGUGUUCUUGAAUCACUCAAGAAUUUAGGAGAAUCACUCUCACUAAGAUAAAAGAGAUAAACUCUAAUUUUCUGAAUAAAACUCAACUUGUCUUUAUUGAUAAAAUGGUUCAGCUUAUAUAAAAGCUUUACAACAGAUUUUAGUAAUGACCCACUAACCUAGAAUUAAAAUAACUUAAUGCCAUUAACCUAGGGAAUUAAAAAAAACUUAAUGGCUGAGUGUAACUGAAAUUGUGGCAACCAAAGGUCACCCCCAACAGCCAACAAGUCAGCCACCAUUUGGUCUCCCAAAAGGCUGAUGCCUAGGUUGCCAAUUGGGCCUUUAUUACAACUUGAACUAAACCUACUAAAGCCCUUUUAGUUGAUUAACCCAAAACAUAUUUUUGGUCAGCCAACUUUACAAGAAUUGGGCCAUUAUUUAGACAAACUUAACACUCUAAAAUUGAGACAAAGUGGUGCCAUUUAGUCCUCCUCCAUUUAGGCCAUGAUACAACUCACAACCUUGGACUUUUCUCCUUGAAACUUGGGCUUGUAUUCAAAUAGUAUGGACAGCACUUGUUGAAGAGCUUCCUUGGCUUUCCUUGCUCUAGCCCUUGUCAUAGGCCCUCCAAGUCCUUCAAGUGGAUCCUUGCCCUUGCUCUUGGUCAUGUCUUCAUCAACUGUACACAGCUAGGCUUCGGACCCUGAGCCUCAGGGUUGGGUUCUUGAGGUUUGGGUGGGAGGAAAGGGAGUUGAAAAUUGAUUUUAGGAAACAAAGAGAAGAGGUUCGGUAGGGACUCUUUGGGUGGUGCUUCUUCAGUCACCGCAGUUUCAUCGCCGCUUCUGCUCAUUGUUCAAGGGACAGCAACAGGCACAACCCCUUGGUGCUGGGGUUAGAGGUCGAGGUUUCAUCGCUGCUUCUGCUCGUUGUUAGGUUUCUUUCGACGCUUUUGAAUGCAAAGGGACACCACAGCAUGUGGAUAAGACCAAGAGAUAACGAUGGUGCUUUAAUAAAACCCGUCGCAAGUCUUAUGACCAACACAACCGUCUUAGAAUGUGUAUCGUACAAGGCUUUUUUAGUACAAUAAUUACAAAAAUGCCACCGGUUCGUUUUCUAUGGCGGUUCUAAAAGAACCGUCGUAGAACGCAUGUCGUAAAAUAACAUUUUUCUAGUAGUGAUUUCUAUUUUUUUGAGUAUUACGCGAGUGCCUAUGAAUACGAGAGUGGCAACAACGAAAUAGUGAAGGUUCGAGAGGAUGAGACGAUUUAAAAGUGAGUCAGCGCCAGAGGUUUAGAAAUAUUAAAAAAAAUAACUAACAUAAAUUUUAUUUAAAAAUUGAUGUUAUCUACUCAUUUGACAAAUCGAUUUUCAAAAACCGAUGUUAACUAAUUACUAACAACAUUGAUUUUUUUUUUAAAAAAUGAUGUUAACAUUGUACUAACAACAUCAGUUUUCAAAUAAACCGAUGUGGGUAAAACAAUAUUUGGGCCUCCAUAGGCCCAACCUCUAUGCAUACCCCUUUCUCGUCUUUCUCCAUCCACACUUCAUUUUCUCAAACUUCAUCUUUCAUGCUGCCAAGAAGCCAAGCACUAGUUUCUUUUUAGGAUGUAGUUAUUCAUUUACUCAUUUACUUUAAUUGUUUUUUCAUCUAUUUAUUUCCUAUUUUCUAUUUAAUGUCAACUUUAUCGUGAAGAUUAUUCAAUUAAAUGUCACAUUUGAUUUUCUCACAUGUUUUAAAAUAAUUUAUAGGUGGUUGAGUAAGAUACGUGUUGUAAACCUCCUGAUAAAUGUCUUUGAUUCCAACGGAUAAAAAAAGUCACAAUUAUUAUUUUUAUUUCCUUUCCAAUAAUUUUUUCAGACAUUUUUUAUUUAUUCCAUAUUUAUUAUAAUUACUUGCUUAAAUAUGAACAUUUGAGUAUUAAAUUUUAUUUAUUUGUUUAAAAUAAUAAUAAUAAUUUUAAUACUAUUAUCACAAUUUUAACUUCAUUUGUUUUUUACUUAGUGAAUUUUAUAAUCUAGGAAAAUAUUGUGCAUGUGUGUAUUUCUAGAAAUAGAAGGGAAAAAUGUAUAUAUAUAUAUAUAUAUAUAUAUAUAUAUAUAUAUAUAUAUAUAUAUAUAUAUAUAUAGACACACACACUAGUAUUAGAAACUGUGCAAUGCAUAGGCAAACUGAUUUAUUGUAAAUUAUCACAAAUUAUAAUUAUUAUAUGAUUGAAUUUAAAGAAAAACUAAUUUUACAUUGUAUUGCUAGGUUAUAGCUGAGACUACUAAUCUUGCAUCAAAAACAUGUUUCUUCGAUACUAUUGUGUUGCAGCUAUAUAGAAUAACAUUUCUUCUUUUAAACUUUAUUUGUUUAAAAAAGGUGUUGCUAAGAGGAAUGAGGAGAUUGAAUUUGAUGGUAUUGCAUAUUUUCUUGAGCUUCCAACCCCAGAAAUGUUGCAUGGACUAUAGGUACCAUUAUCUUGUUAUUUCAUCUGAUAUUUAAUAUAUUACCUUGAAUUUAAGCUUCUUUGUACAAAUUACAUACAAAUGCAGUUUUUUUAUUAACUUGUUUGACAAAAUUAGUGCUUAUACUCCAAAAAUGAAAAAUAAUAAUUCAAUCCGUGUAAAACUAUUUUGAAUAAUUGAAUUACUAAUACAUGAGUAACAUAAUUUACCAAUUGAAUAUCAAAGUUAACCUGAUUAUUGAGGAUGUAUUUCAUAUUCUGCACUAUGAAAAUUGUAUCUAUAGUUGACAUAUUUUUGCUCAUAUAUUAAGUAUAAAUUUUCUUACUUGCGUUAAACAUAAAUUUCAUAUUUUUAAUUCUAUAUGUUGUUUCUAUCUUUAAGAAAAAUGUUCAUCUCCAUAAAUUAAGUAUAGAUUAUCUUAAAAAUAUCAUUUUCAUAUUUUUAGAUAAUCUACUGGGAGAAGAAGAGAAAAGAAAAACUCCACCUCAUAAUUUUACAAAUAAAUUCUAGACAUUAAUUUGACUUAUACUUGGUAUUUUAAAUAAAAUAAAAUAUUCAAUGAAUUAGUUAAGUGAAAAGAAAAUAAGCAAGAAAUAAACCAAAAAACAUUUGCAUUAAUCUCAUUAGUUAUAUUUUAUUAAUGUUGACCUGAUUGGAUUUUGUUAAAAUUGGUGACUCUACACAGGUUGAACAAGUUUUUUAAAUGUUUAAUUAGUAUGCUAUUUAAUUUAUAUGUAUUUUGUUAUUAUUUUUAUAUGAAGUAGCCUCUUAUGAGUCUACGAGUUGAAUCCAUGAGUCAAGUUUUUAGAACUUUGACGAGUUUAUGUAAACUGCCGAUCGAGUUUGAUAACCUUAGUGUCAAAUAUAUAUGUAUUUGAUAACCUUAGUUGUAAACCUCUUGAUAAAUGUCUUUGAUUCCAACGGAUAAAAAAAGUCACAUUUAUUAUUUUUAUUUCCUUUCCAAUAAUUUUUUCUGAAAUUUUUUAUUUAUUCCAUGAUUAUUAUAAUUUCUUGCUUAAAUAUGAACAUUUGAGAGUUUAAUUUUAUUUAUUUGUUUAAAAUAAUAAUAAUAAUUUUAAUACUAUUAUCAUAAUUUUAACUUUAUUUGUUUUUUACUUAGUGAAUUUUAUAAUCUAUGAAAAUAUUGUGCAUGUGUGUAUUUCUAGAAGUAGAAGGGAAAAAUGUAUAUAUAUAUAUAUAUAUAUAUAUAUAUAUAUAUAGAGAGAGAGAGAGAGAGAGAGAGAGAGAGAGAGAGAGAGAGACACUAGUAUUAGAGCCCGUGCAAUGCACAUGCAAACUGAUUUAUUGUACAUCAUCACAAAUUAUAAUUAUUAUAUGAUUGAAUUUAAAGAAAAACUAAUUUUACAUUGUAUUACUAGGUUGCAGCUGAGACUACUAAUCUUGCAUCAAAAACAUGUUUCUUCGAUACAAUAUACUAUUGUGUUGCAACUAUAUAGAAUAACAUUUCUUUUUUAAAUUUUAUUUGUUUAAAAACAGUGUUGCUAAGAGGAAUGAGGAGAUUGAAUUUGUUGGUAUUGCACAUUUUCUUGAGCUUCCAACCCCAGAAAUGUUGCAUGGACUACAGGUACCAUUAUCUUGUUAUUUCAUUUGAUAUUUAAUAUAUUACCUUGAAUUUAAGCUUCUUUGUACAAAUUACAUACAAAUGCAGUUGUUGUAUUAACUUGUUUGACAAAAUUUGUGCUUAUACUCCAAAAAUGCAAAAUAACAAUUCAAACUGUGUAAAACUAUUUUGAAUAAUUGAAGUACUAAUACAUGAGUAAUAUAAUUUACCAAUUGAAGACCAAAGUUAAGCUGAUUAUUGAGGAUGUAUUUCAUAUUUCGCAAUAUGAAAAUUGUAUCUAUAGUUGACAUAUUUCUGCCCCUAAAUUAAGUAUAAAUUUUCUUACUUGCUUUAAACAUAAAUUUCAUAUUUUUCAUUCUAUAUGUUGUUUCUAUCUUUAAAAAAAAUGUUCAUCUCCACAAAUUAAAUAUAGAUUUUGUUACUUGUCUUAAAAAUAUCAUUAUCAUAUUUUUAGAUAAUCUACUGGGAGAAGAAGAGAAAAGAAAAACUCCACCUCAUAAUUUUACAUAUAAAUUCUACAUUAAUUUGACUUAUACUUGGUAUUUUAAAUAAAAUAAGAUAUUCAAUGAAUUAGUUAAGUGAAAAGAAAAUAAGCAAGAAAUAAACCAAAAAACAUUUGCAUUAAUCUCAUUAGUUAUAUUUUAUUAAUAUUCUUCCAUAAAAAAAUAGUUUAUCUGUAUUCUCCAUAUUAAGUAAAACAAAGUAUUCAAAAACAUUAGUUAAGUAAAAAAAAAAAACUUAUAUGAGUAAGAAGAUGAUAAAUAAGAAAUACAUCAUUUACCUAUAAUUCAAUUUUAGAUGUUAAUUUUAUUUAUACUUUUAUGUUAAAUAAAAUCAGAUAUUCAAUAAAUUAGUUAAGUGAUAAGAUACUAAGCAAGAAAGAAAAAUAAUUAUUUACACAAUUCUCAUUCAUUAUAUUUUAUUCAUAUUCUCUAUAAUAAAUAACACAAAGUAAUUAAAAAAUUAUUUAAGCUAAAAAACCAUUUAUAUUAUCAUAAUUUCAUUGAUUCAAAUUUCUCUUAGUUAUGGAAUUAUAUAUGUAUUAAAUAGGAAAAAAUUUACUCCUCAGUAAUUAAAUAUAGUUUUUUUUAUUUUCUUUAAAAAGAUCAUUUUCUUCUUUUUUUUUGUAUAUAAUUUCUAUCUUUGGAAAAAAAAAAGUUUCUCGUAUAUUAGGUAAUGAUAUUUUUACUUGCUUUUAAGAAUCAUCUUUAUAUUUUAUAUUUAUUUUUUAUCUUAGUAAAAAAAAGUUACUCCCCUUAAAUUAAGUAUAAAUUUUGUUAUUUGAUUUUAAAGAAUUAUCUUUAGGAUAGUAUUUUAGUUCAAUAGAAAUAAUUUCCGAUCAAACUUUAUUUACCCUCAAUUGAACUCCAAAUUAGUCAAUACACGUUUCCUCCCAUGAAUUGGACGACUAAGGCCAUAAAAAAAGUCACCUUAAUAUUUUAUAUUGAAUAUACAAUUUCUAAUUUUAGUUGAAAUAUUCCUCCCCAUAAAUUAAGUAUAGGUUUUCUUACUUGCUUUAAAAAUAAAUUUCAUAUUUUUUGUUAUUUCUAUGUUUAAGAAAAAUGUUAAUCUCCACAAAUUAAGUAUAGAUUUUGUUACUUGUUUUCUUUAAAAUAUUAUUUUCAUAUUGUUUACAUAACUUGCUGGGAGAAGAAGAGGAAAGAAAAACCACACCUCCUCAUUUUACAUAUAAAUUUUAGACAUUAAUUUUACUUAUACUUGAUACUUUAAAUAAAAUAAAUUAUUCAAUGAAUUACUUAAGUGAAAAGACAAUAAGCAAGAAAUAAACCAAAAAACAUUUACAUUAAUCUCAUAAGUUACAUUUUAUUCAUAUUCUACCUGAAACAUCACAAUGCUAGUGAUUAUGUUGGAUGGAGGUGAAGGGGUAGGAGUCAUUUUAUUUAAUGACUGAAUUUUGAAAUUGUCUAGUAGCAGUAGUGAAACACAAAUGGAUCCUCUGCAAUGAAGUUAAUUACUACUAUAGAUAAUUGUAACUUUUUAUUAAAUUCUAUAUUUUUAUGACAAUUGACUUAUAUUAUUUUGGUACAAAAAAAAAUGGCAAUACAAUUUGGAACAUGACUAAAAUAGUGGGGAUCAACUUUAGGAUUCAGAGCUCGAGCAAGAGAGUGAGUCAUUGAGUUAACUUGUCUCCCUACAAAACAAACACAAAAGUUUGGUAAAUCACAUAGCAUAGUACGACAGUUGUAUAAGAUCGCACCAUAUUUCGAUUUAUCUGAGCGAUAGUUAUAUACUUCAUUCUCCACUUGAAGGCAAUCAAAUUCAAUAAUGAUAUCAUCAAUAUCCAGAUCUUAGGCUACCAACAUGGCUAGGGCAUUCCUUUCAUGAAUCAACAAUUUAAACGGGGAAGUGUGAGAUAAAGCCAUGAAAAAUUGACCUCUAUCAUCCUUCAUAAAACAACGAACUUAAAAGAACUUUCCUAGCUCUUUGACAAAAGCAGCGCCUAUAUUGCAUUUUAGAGUCCCUAGAGGAGGAGGUUCCCAUCCUUACUACCAUUAGAUUUGCAGUGGGUCUUAAGUUUGCCUUCUCAAUCACUCGAGCUUUUCUCCAAUCGUAGUCAAAAAACUCCUGAGCUUGAUGUACCUCAAGCUCAGUGCAUAAUCACUUACAACAAUUCUAUUUUACAUACAGGUUCAGUGCGAAAUUCUAGGCUAAGCGUGCAGGCAAUUAUGCAGAAACAACAGUGCAAUGCAUUUGAUCCUAUUUAAGCUCCAAGGAUGCAAAUAGAAGGUAGAUAAUUGGCUGGGGGACUAUUUAGGGUUUGAGGUUGCAGUUGCAAAGCUAUCUUUUACCCUCCAUGGCUUCCCUACCAUUUCUCAUUAUCUAUUUUCUUCUUGUAGUUUGGUUUACCCAUUUUAGGGGUUGAUGUAGUUGAAUUGAUCUUGAUGUUUACAUUUUGAUUAUUAAUCUAUGUUUAUUUUUCAUUAUUAAGUGUUCUCCUCUAUGCAUUAAUGCUUGCUUUUGCUUGAUCAUCCUUUUCUUGAUGUUGUGGUUUGAAUUGUCAGUGAAAAAUGCUUUUGAACUUAGAAAUAAAAAGGAACACCUAAUGGGUUUUGUGUCUAGAGAUAGGACAGAGUUUGUUAGUCAUCUUUUAACUCUUAUUCUUUAUGCAAGUCACUUAGGUAGAUUAGUCAAGGGAUUGAUAGUUUGAUUAAUGGACAUAGAUUCUUUCCAUUCGAGGGAUCGGAGUUUGAGUAUUUUUGUGAGUCGAUGAUUAUAAUUGGGCAUUGAACUAGAUUAGUGACCUAUGUUAGCAUGAGGAAGUGGUUUAGUGAAAUCAGCCCUAACUCUUUUAAUCUUUGUUAUUUUACUUCUUUUUAUCGCACUCCAAGUGUUCAUAAAAAUUACCCAAAAAUAUUUUCUUGUUAUCUUGCUCUUGAAUUUUAUGUUUGUUUCAUUUAUUGCUAUUUAUAUUGUUACAAUCAAAUUAUAAUUGUUGUUUCUGAAAGCCAUAGUUAGUGAAUAUUGUUAUUUUUUCGAGUAUUACGUGAGUCCCUGAGAAUACGAGUGACAACAACGAAAGAGUGAAAGUUCGAGAUAAUGAGAGGGUUUCAAAGUGAGUUAGCGCCAGAGGUUUAGAAAUAUAAAAAAAGAACUAACAUCAGGUUUAUUUUAAAAACCGUUGUUAUCUAGUUAUUUGAUAAAUUGGUUUUCAAAAUUACUAACAACAUAAAUUUUUAAAAAAUAUUUAUAGAAGAUAAUAGAUAAUAGAUAUGUCAAAUAUAAAAUUAAAAUAAUUGUUAUUAGCGGUGUUAUUCACGCGUGUUUUAGCCCAUAUGUUUACAAAUUGCAUGAGUUCGCUCAAUUUCAUAAAUAAUACUAUACUUUUUUUUAUCUCUUAUUUUUGUGAUUAGUAACAAAAGAUAAAAAGCCACCAUAUAUUAAUGUUCUUAAAAAUAAUUGAAUAAAUUGAUAUUAAGAGUUUCUUUAAACUCUUCAUAUCAUAUUCCAUGUAUUCUUUCUCAAUCAUUCUCACUUUCACAAUUUAACUAAGUACCACGCAAUAACAACUGGGGAAAAAAAUUAACAAACGUGAUCUCCAUUCCCAUGCUUAUGUUUAUCUCUAAUCCAAAUUAUACCCAUUAUUGUGCAACAAACUAGACCAAUACAAUCAUAAGAACAAAAAAAGGAUUUAUAAUGCAAACAGAUCUAAGAUUGAUAAAGAGAAAUAGAACACGGUGUAUUUGUAUAAUUUUCAAAACCAACUAUGUGUUCCCUGCAUCCUCUACAAACAAAUGCUGACCAUGUAAUCGAUUACCAGUGACAUGUAAUCGAUUUUGUGUCCCCUUCAAAACUGACUAUGUGUCCCCUUCAAAGAUAUGAUUGUGUAAUCGAUUACCAGAGUCAUGUAAUCGAUUAUCAGUGAAAAAGUUUCAGAAAAUCUUUUGAAACGAUACAUCUCUUCAAACUGUUUUGAAAAUACACAAUGGGUCUAUAUAUAUGUGUGUCCUUACUUCGAAAAGAAGAGAUUUCUCAGAGAACUUAACUUUCAAAACCUCUCUAAACAUCUUUGGCCAAACUCUUGCGAAUUAUUGAGAAUUCUUCUAAGAAUUUCAAGUUGUAUCAUCUGCUCUAAAAGAGAGAAAUCAUUAUGUUCAUCUUAUAAAAUUCAGUUGUAAUCAAGAGAUUGUUUAUCUCUUGACAUGUGAGAAACUCGAACAUAAGGGUAAGGAAUCCCAAGGCGUGUUCAAAGAUUGUAAAGGAUUUACAAAAAUAGUGAAAAAUCUCAAGUGGGUUACCUGAAGACUGGACAUAAGCAUGGAAAGUGGCUGAACCAGAAUAAAUCAAGUUUGUAAUUUUCUAUUCCCUUAUCUCGUUUAUUUUAUUGCAAUUUACUUUAUCUUUACACAUUUAAAGAACAUUGUUAAAUUGACUAUUGCUUUUUCUUCUACAUUCUGAAUCUAUCACAUAUCAUUUAGAAGGGAUUAAACCUUGUUAAUCGAAAUAUUUUUAAGACUUAAUUCAUCCUCCCUCCCCCCCUCCUCUUAAGUUAUUGAGGUCACUUAUUCAACAAAAAAUUAUUUAGAAAUUUUUUAUGUUAAUAUAUAAAUACAUAAAUUAUAAUACAAACAUGAAAACUUUUGAAAACAAUAAAAAAAUUAAUUAAUGUAAUAUUAUUAUAAUGAAGACUUGCAAAUUAGUAUAUAUUUUAUGAUACUUGUUGCUUCACAUAUUAAUUUAAUGAAACAAAAGAAAUUCAAUUUGUUUGCAUAACUAAUUUGUUCCUCUCUUGAUAAACAAAGAAAAUUGUUACUCCCUUCACACUAAAAAAAAAUUACCGUCUUAAGUUAUUUUACAAACACAAAAAUUAAUAAAUAGAAAAAAAAGAAUUGAUAAUUUAUAAAGUUAAUCUUAUAUAAUUUUUAUUUCAUUUAUAGAUUUUAUUGUUCAUUAUUAAUGUUAUAAGAGAUAUAAUUAAGUGAAGAAAAAGAAGAAAAAAAAUCAUUUUGAGAUUUUAUUUUUUAUUUUUACACGAUAAUUAUAAUAAGAGAAAAGAAAUAUCAUGAAAUGAAACUACAUUUACGAUAUAAGGGAUUGACAUAAUUAAUUAUUUCUUCCACAUUUGCCCUUAGUUAACAUAACUUAAAUAAUUAUAUAUGGAUUAUUCCACAACUACUCUCAUCAUAAAUAUCAAAUGAUGAUAUUUUAGGUUAAAUAUAUAGUUUGUAAGUACUAUUAAUUAUUUCUUAAACUUUGUAUAUGAACUUUGAAAAUCAAUAGUUUAGGUCAGGAGAAAAAAAUUUAAUAUAUUUUGGAUUCAAAUGCAAAAGUGACUUAAAUAAGCCUUUAAGAACUUUGGUAGGAGGACUCUUUCAAACAUUCUCUAUAAUGUGUUGUAAUGUAUUUAAAGCUAUAAAAUAAAAAAGAGAUAAUGAUUAAAUACCAUGUGAGAUUCAUAAAAGUUUUCUAUUUUUAGUAAAUUUCAAUCAAGAAGAGAAAUUGUGUUAAAAAAAUGCUCAAGAUCACAUUAUCCUUUAUGAGAAGUAAUCAUAUUCAAGAUGUAGAAAAUUGAUUAUAACUAUGCUGAGUUAUUUUUCCACAUAUAUUAUAAUUACAACCUAUGUCAAAUCAAAAUCAUCAUCUUUGGUAAAUAGUUGCUGAAAUCACCUAUUUGAUAUAUAGUUUUACCUAACCACGUAAUUUGGUAAAAAAAAAUCAUAUAUUUGAAAAAAAUAUUAACAUGUUAAUUGUUUAUUAUUUAGUUUAAAAAGUUUAAGAUAUUGAUUUAUCAAGUUAUUUGACAAAUUGGUUUUCAAAAACUGAUGUUAACUAAUUACUAACAACAUCAAUUUUUUGAAAAUAUUUAUAGAAGAUAAUAGAUAAUAGGUAGAUAAUAGAUAUGUAAAUUAUAAAAUUAAAAUAAUCGUGAUUAGUGGGGUUAGUCACCCUUGUUUUAACCCAUGUGUUUACAAAUUGUAUGGGUUCGCUCAAUUUCAUAAAUAAUCCUCCCCUUACAAUCCAAUUUUGUAUGGUUGAGUUAAGCUUAUGAAAAACCCACUUUUUGAUAUUGUAUGAUGAGCGUGAGGAGAGUUGUGGUAAAAGUCCCAUGAUCCAUCAUCCCCAUGAUUGUUUCUCAGAUUUCGUUAAAUUUCUCUUGAUACUCCUUAUUUUAAUUUUAUUUUUAAAAAAAUAUAAAUUUGUUAAGAUUUCUUAUAUUAAACAUGUUUAAUUUUAUUAUUUAUUUAUAUUUAGUUAGGAUUAAUUUGACAUGUUGGUUCAGUUUAAAGCCAAGAUACAUAAUAAUAUAUAUAUAUAUAUAUAUAUAUAUAUAUAUAUAUAUAUAUAUAUAUAUAUAUAUAAAGCCAUUAUGAACCAUCAAAUUUUCAGCCAAAGAAAAAUUAAAGUUGACAAACCUGGUCUACUUUCACAUUCUAGCCUAUGGGCUGUCCAAUUUGUCUCUGCAUUUUUAUUUAAUUGCACCACUUGUGUCUAUGCAUUUUAUUUAAGUAUGCAACAAAGGCAUAUGUCACUUUGUUUGCGCAAUGUGAAGAGUGAUGGAAGACAAUAAAUUCUAAUUUAUUAGUAAGACAUUAAUUAAAUUAAAAUCGACUAGCUAGAAAAUUCCAAGACUAAAACUGUGAAAGAGAAUAAAAUUAGAAGUUAUCAACCCAAAUAACAUUUCUGAUUUGGUGUAUGCUAAAAGUUGUUUCUUCAUAAACAUCAAAUUUUCACAUUCUAGUCUAUGCGCUGUCCAAUUUGCCUCGUACCUCUAGAAAUAAUUGCACCAAUUGUCUCUAUGCAUUUUAUUCAAGUAUGCAACAAAGGCAUACGUCACUUUGUUUGCGCAAUGUGAAAACAAAGGCAUAUAUGUCACUUUGGAUCCCAUGCAUAUGCUAAAAGUUGUUUCUUCAUAAACAUCGAUCCAUAACUUGUGGAUCCCAUGUAUUUAAUAUAGUAAGACCUGAAUAAGAUGAUUUAAUUAAGAAGACUUUGAUUAAUUAAAAUGUUUAUCCAAAGAAGGUUAGUUACAUGUUCACACACAUAAAACAAUAAUUAACUAGAAAUAUUGUAGUAUGAUUUAACAGAUAUUUAAAAAUUUGAUCCAAUCAUCUAUAUAAGAGGAAGGAGUGGUGUCCGAUAUAAUCACACCAACCAAAGCCACAAAAGAAAAGCAAUAGCAAUAGCAGUAGCAACAGCCCAUAUAAAAUAUAAUGGCAGAAACCUGCGACUCCAACAAUAAAGUGAUCCGUGAAUACCAUCAUGAUGCUUCCUUUAUGUCAAGGUGUGACAUCUUUACUGAUGUUACCGAGUACCAACUGUGUCUGGCAUAUGCCGGAGAAUCUGGUAAAGGAAACUUCGAACCUAAGUGGGACACAGACAAUGUCACUCCCCACCUUAUCGAGCAGUUCAAGCUAAAUUGUGCUGCCUCGAAUCUGCCAGUCAAAGUGUUUGUCAGCAUCGGAGGAGAUGACCCCUUCAAAGUUGCUGCUGGUGGUGCCGAUGAUUGGGUUCUCAAUGCCACAACCACACUCCACCACAUGAUCAACGAGUACCACAUCGAUGGAAUCGAUGUUAACUACACCACAAUCCUGUGCAACAAAAAAUUGUUUGUUAACUGCUUUAAGGAUCUCAUAAGGGGCCUAAGGGAAGCUCUAUGCACCACUGGGUUUGAGGCUUCCUUAGCUCCAGAUGCUGCCACCAAUGAGGCUUUCUACUUGCCCUUGUACCGAUCUAUUGAUACUUCUUGGAUUGGAACUGUUGUGUUUCAGUGCUUCGUUGAUUUCGAACCUAAAGAUCCUAACAGAUCAGUUGAAAUCUUGGUGCGCCAGGUUGAGAAGAUAGUGGAAGAGUAUGAUUAUUAUGACUCUAAGAUCUUGCUUGGCUACAGCGCCAUUAAGGAGGAUUGGAAUAAAGUUUCACCACCCCUCUUCUUUCUUGCUCUCAAUCGCCUAGUGCAUUCUUGGCCUAGGGUUAAGGGCGCAUCUGUCAAGGUUCUUAGUGACACCUAUGCCUUCAUUCCCCCAACGUGGAUCCCUAAACUCCUGUCUUUGGCCGUCUCCGAUCCUGGAAAAUAUCCUUAAUUGAAGAUCCAUAAUUAUUAAGUUCUAUCUAUGCAUUCAUGGCUCUAGCCAUUCUAUAUAUGGAAUAAGACCCAUGCUAUAUCUAUUAAUUGUAUGUGUGUGUUCCUUCUGCCUAUAUCUAUAUAUGUUGUGCGUGCAUUUGAAAAAACAAUGCAUGGCAUGCAUAUUUGUGCUGUGUUAAUGCCUACGUGCAUCUUUGUCUCAUCAAUAAAAUAUAUUAUAUGUCUUUGUGCUUCAUAAAUAUGUGCAUGGGCCUAUUACUAUGAAGCAAAGUUGUAGAAUCAACUCAGACUGGAUUGAUCCUGAAUCAGUGUCUAAACCAAUUUGAGUUAGUAUUUGAAUUACAAUUCAUGCUGCUCAAAUCCACCAACGUUGACCACAUUGGGUUUGGUUAAGAUCGGUGACCCAGCCCAGGUUGAGGAAGCUUUUUAAAUGUUUAAUUGAUAUGCUAUUUAAUAUAAUUUAUAUGUAUUUUGUUAUUAUUUUUAUAUGAAGUAGAUUCUUAUGAGUUUACGAGUCAAAUUCAUUAGUCGAAUUUUUAGAACUUUCACGAGUUUAUGCAGACUCGAUCGAGUUUGAUAACCUUAGUGUCAAGUUUACUUAUGGGAUGAGCUCAUGACCACCCAUUAGUGAAGAUCUCUCUCGAUGUUUUAUCCCUCUCAAUUUACCAACAAUUAUACUUCUCCUAAAAUAAAAUAAUAAAUUAUAAUUCACCUUUAGUAAAAUUUGAAUAAGAAAUAUAUUAAAAAUUAAUAUACUUGCAAUCUUUCAAAAUAUUAUAUGAUCUUAAUAGGUUUAAAUAUGUUUUUAGUCCCCGAAAGUUGUUAUUUUUAAUUUUAAUUCUUAUAAAUUUUUUGUUUAUUUUUAGUCCUUAUAUUGUAAGUUUAUGUUUUUUCAAUUUUAGUCCCUUUAAUAUUUUAAUUUAUUCAUUUGUAAACUGCAUAAGUUCAUGCUUAAUUACAAUGACCAAAAUUAUAUUGUAAAAUUACAAAUUUACAGGGACUAAAAAUUAAAAAAAAAUUACAAGGAACAAAAUUGAAAAAACACAAACUUACCAAAACUAAAUAUGAAUAAUUUUUUCACAAAGAUCAAAAUUUAAAAAAAAAUACAAACUUACAAAAAUAAAAAUGUAUUUAAGUUAUAAUCAAUGAUAUUGAGUUAAAAUCAUGAUUUAGACAUUCUUAAAUCAUCUUUUCAUGUCUGAUAUCAGAAAAAAAAAUUAAAAAAAUAUUGUUUAGAUUCUUUGAAUGAAAAUUGAUUUUGAGGGUGUAAUGACCAAAAUGGAUUUUAAUGUCUAUGUACACUCAAUUUUCUAUUAUAAUUAGUUAUAUAUAUAUAUAUAAUUAAAAUUAAAUAGACAUAAUUAAAAUUAAGACAAUAUGUGUAUAAUAUGCUAACUUUUGAAAUAGAACAACAUCUCUUAUAAAAAUAAUUAAAUUGAAUGAAAUAGAUAAUAAAAGUAUUAACUCGACAUAAGCAUCUUAAAAAUUGUUUUUUAUAACACACAUUCUAAGAUGAUUAUAAGGAAUCGUAUUAAAAGAAUAAAAAAUAUUUAUCAAAAAAUCACUUGGAUAGGAUUGGAUGAAUUAAAAAAUUAAAUAAAUAGAUAACAAUCUAUCUAUUCUCAUUUUCAAAUUUAAUGGAUCAUCCAAUUAACACUAUAGAAUAAAACAAGUUAAACAUAAUUUUUUUUAUAUUUCAAUUUUCUUUAAAUUUAUUUUAAAAAAUAUUUUUCCAUAUAUUAUUUUUAGUACUUAUUCAUAGGAGUCUCUAUCAGAUGGAAUAAUUCAUGUACUUGAAUUGACCAAAACCCUUUAAUAUGAAUUUUGUUAUUAUUUGGGUAGAAGUCAAAUCUAUAUUUCAAAUAAAUAAGAAAGUGUUAAUAACCGUUAUUUAAUUUUAAAAAGUUUUAGGUAUUAAUUUGGUAAAACAAAAAAAAUAUUUCUUAAAUGUUAAUUUUAGAAAGAAUAGUCCAAACGAACACUUUCGGUUCUUUAGUCAUGUAGAUUAAUUUACCACAAUGACAACUCACAAAUUUAUUCUGUGGAUUUCAUACAUAAAUUAAAACUCCGGAAGAAAAAAAAAUAUGGCAAUGAUAAUUGAUAUGCAGAACUAGAACUAUUAAUUAGUGUUAUUGACCUAAGUUUUAGCCCAUGUUUGCAAAUUGUAUGAGUUUGCUCAAUUUUACAAAUAAUACUAUAGUUUUUUAUAUCUCUUAUUGUUGUGAUUAGUAACAAAAGAUAAAAAAGCUAUAGAUUAAGGUUCUUCAAAAUAAAUUGAAUAAGUGGAUAUUGAGAAUUUCUUUAAACUCUUCGCAUUAUAUUCCGUGUAUUUUUUUCUCAAUUAUUUCCACUUUCACAAUUUAAUUACCACGCAAAAAAUUGGGAAAAGAAACACUUGACCCCAUGUAUAUGUUUAUCUCUAAUUAACCCAAAUUAUACCCAUUAAUUAUUGUGCUGCAAACUAGACCAAAAAAUCGUAAGAAUAAAAAGUUAAAAAGGAUAUAUAAUGCAAGCAUAUGUAGAUUGAGAAAGAAGAAAAAGAAAACAGUGUAUUUGUAUAUUUUUCAAAAUCGAACAGCUAGCUAAAGGUUGGAAAUAAAAUUUAGAGUAAAGUAUACAGGCACUUACUGAGAUUUCGUUAAAUUUCUCUUGAUACUCCUUAUUUUAAUAAUUUUUUUAAAAAUAUAUAUAUAAAUUUGUUAAGAUUUCCUAUAUUAAACAUGUUUAAUUUUAUUAUUUAUUUAUAUCUAGUUAGGAUUAAUUUGACUUGUUGGUUCAGUUUAAAGUCAAGAUACAUAAAAAAUAAUAUAUAUAUAUAUAAAGCUAUUAUGAACCAUCAAAUUUUCAGCCAACGAAAAAUUAAAGUUGACCAACCUGGUCUAGUUUCACAUUCUAGCUUAUGCGCUGUCCAAUUUGCCACGUACCUCGACCUGGAAAUAAUUGCACCAAUUGUCUCUAUGCAUUUUAUUUAAGUAUGCAAGAAAGGCAUAUGUCACUUUGUUUGCGCAAUGUGAAGAGUGAUCGAAGACAAUACAUUCUUAUUUAUUAGUAAGACUUUAAUUAAAUUAAAAUCGACUAGAAAAUUCCAAGACUACAAGUGUGAAAGAGAAUAAAAUUAGAAGUUAUCAGCCCAAAUAACAUUUCUGAUUUGGUAUAUGCUAAAAGUUGUUUCUUCAUAAACAUCGAUCCAUAACUUGUGGAUCCCAUGUAUUUUCUUAUUCUUUAAUUUACUAGUUUGCUUAAGUUUAAUGGUCUAUUUAUACUAAUUAAGUUCGCUUGAUUAAUUUUUAAAUUUGUUUAAUCAAAUAUCCAUCAAUUGACCAAUUACUUUUUCUAUCUAUUUUUUUUUAUAGGCAAUGCAAUAUAAUUUUAUUGAAUGUGGAUAUAUUUUAUUGAUGCAUAUAUACAAUAAUCGAAAGCAAAUGAAGCACAAAGAGAUACAAUAUAUUUUAUUGAUGAGAGAAAGAUGCACGUAGGCAUUAACACACCACAAAUAUGCAUGCCAUGCAUUGUUAUUUCAAAUGCACGCACAACAUAUAUAGACAUAGGCAGAAGGAACACACACAUACAAUUAAUAGAUAUAGCAUGGGUCUUAUUCCAUAUAUAGAAUGGCUAGAGCCAUGAAUGCAUAGAUAGAACUUAAUAAUUAUGGAUCUUCAAUUAAGGAUAUUUUCCAGGAUCGGAGACGGCCAAAGACAGGAGUUUAGGGAUCCACGUUGGGGGAAUGAAGGCAUAGGUGUCACUAAGAACCUUGACAGAUGCGCCCUUAACCCUAGGCCAAGAAUGCACUAGGCGAUUGAGAGCAAGAAAGAAGAGGGGUGGUGAAACUUUAUUCCAAUCCUCCUUAAUGGCGCUGUAGCCAAGCAAGAUCUUAGAGUCAUAAUAAUCAUACUCUUCCACUAUCUUCUCAACCUGGCGCACCAAGAUUUCAACUGAUCUGUUAGGAUCUUUAGGUUCGAAAUCAACGAAGCACUGAAACACAACAGUUCCAAUCCAAGAAGUAUCAAUAGAUCGGUACAAGGGCAAGUAGAAAGCCUCAUUGGUGGCAGCAUCUGGAGCUAAGGAAGCCUCAAACCCAGUGGUGCAUAGAGCUUCCCUUAGGCCCCUUAUGAGAUCCUUAAAGCAGUUAACAAACAAUUUUUUGUUGCACAGGAUUGUGGUGUAGUUAACAUCGAUUCCAUCGAUGUGGUACUCGUUGAUCAUGUGGUGGAGUGUGGUUGUGGCAUUGAGAACCCAAUCAUCGGCACCACCAGCAGCAACUUUGAAGGGGUCAUCUCCUCCGAUGCUGACAAACACUUUGACUGGCAGAUUCGAGGCAGCACAAUUUAGCUUGAACUGCUCGAUAAGGUGGGGAGUGACAUUGUCUGUGUCCCACUUAGGUUCGAAGUUUCCUUUACCAGAUUCUCCGGCAUAUGCCAGACACAGUUGGUACUCGGUAACAUCAGUAAAGAUGUCACACCUUGACAUAAAGGAAGCAUCAUGAUGGUAUUCACGGAUCACUUUAUUGUUGGAGUCGCAGGUUUCUGCCAUUAUAUUUUAUAUGGGCUGUUGCUACUGCUAUUGCUAUUGCUUUUCUUUUGUGGCUUUGGUUGGUGUGAUUAUAUCGGACACCACUCCUUCCUCUUAUAUAGAUGAUUGGAUCAAAUUUUUAAAUAUCUGUUAAAUCAUACUACAAUAUUUCUAGUUAAUUAUUGUUUUAUGUGUGUGAACAUGUAACUAACCUUCUUUGGAUAAACAUUUUAAUUAAUCAAAGUCUUCUUAAUUAAAUCAUCUGAUUCAGGUCUUACUAUAUUAAAUAAGAAUAAUAAUAAUCAUUUCGAAAAAUUAAAGAAUAAGAAAAUACAUGGGAUCCACAAGUUAUGGAUCGAUGUUUAUGAAGAAACAACUUUUAGCAUAUGCAUGGGAUCCAAAGUGACAUAUAUGCCUUUGUUUUCACAUUGCGCAAACAAAGUGACGUAUGCCUUUGAUUUUUAUGUGAAACUAGACCUGCAGGUUGGUCAACUUUAAUUUUUCUUUGGCUGAAAAUUUGAUGGUUCAUAAUGGCUUUAUAUAUAUAUAUUUUUAUGUAUCUUGGCUUUAAACUGAACCAACAAGUCAAAUUAAUCCUAACUAAAUAUAAAUAAAUAAUAAAAUUAAACAUGUUUAAUAUAGGAAAAAUUAAGAAAUUUAUAUUAAUAAAAAACAAUUAAAAUAAGGAGUAUCAAGAGAAGUUUAACGAAAUCUCAGUAAGUAUUUGUAUACUUUACUCUAAAUUUUAUUUCCAACCUUUAGCUAGCUGUUCGGUUUUGAAAAAUAUACAAAUAUACUGUUUUCUUUUUCUUCUUUCUCAAUCUACAUAUGCUUGCAUUAUAUAUCCUUUUUAACUUGUUUUUUAUUCUUACGAUUUUUUGUUCUAGUUUGCAGCACAAUAAUUAAUGGGUAUAAUUUGGGUUAAUUAUAGAUAAACAUAUACAUGGGUAUAAUUUGUACAUCAUGACAUAAUACUCUGCUGCUUUUAUCUCUGAUACUUCAACAUCAAGAUGUGUGUUUAGAUUGAUGUGUGAACUAUUUGCCUGUGAUUUAUAGGCUUGGAAACUUAUGCCUGUGAUUCUUACAUUGAAGGCUUGAAUCACAAGAUGUGUGCUUAGAUUCAUGUGUGAACUAUUUGGUGCAGGUUGGACUCUGAUUGCUCCUUUGUCCACUUGGUUCCAAUGUUGUAAUUAGAACAGCAUUGUCCUUUGUCCACUAAAUAGUUUUACUUUUACCUAAUUACUUUUCUUUUUCUUUUCAUUUAAAGCUGCGAGAGUACAUUGAUGAUCCUGAAUAUUAUAUUAAUAUUCAAGUAAGUAGCUAGCAAUUUACUGAAAAUAUAUCAAUUGGUAUAUGGUGAAUGACAUGAAAUUCUAUUGUAAUUAAUAUUAAAUUUUAAUUUAAUAAUUAAUAUUUAAAUGAUAGAUUAAAUAUAAAUAAUACUUAAACCUCUUAUUUUUAUUUAAUCUAUCAUUUAAAUAUUAUUUAUUAAAUAAAUUUUAUCAUUAAUAUUAAUUAUAGUAUUGAUAAUAUUGUAAUUAUAAAUAUUGAUUUAUUGAUUAUUAGCAAUAUUGAUAAUAUUAAAAAUAUAAAAAAUGACCAUUAAUAAAUCAAUUUUUAAUUACAGGUUAUUAAAUAUUUAACAUCAUUUCUUAACUGAACACUGAUGUGAAAAAACAAUAUUUUACAUCGUUCACUAAGAUAACACCGAUGUAAAAUGUUUAAUUUCUACAUCGUUUAUUAACUGAGCACCGAUGUGGAAAAACACUAUUUUACAUCGUUCACUAAGAUAACAUCGAUGUAGAAGGUCUAAUUUCUACAUUGUUCCUUAACUGAGCACCAAUGUGGAAAUGCGCUAUUUUACAUCGUUCACUAAGAUAACACCGAUGUAGAAGGUCUAAUGUCUACAUCGGUGGUCAGGAAAGCACUGUUGUAGAAAACGUUGUCUUUCUACAACGGUGGUUUGGGGACCGAUGUUGAAACUUCUAACUUUCAACAACAUCCUAUUCAACAUCGGUUGAUCACCGAUGUAAAAUGUGGUUUUCCACCGAUGUGAAAACUAUGUUUUCUAGUAGUAUUUGUCUCAUCAAUAAAAUAUAUUGUAUCUCUUUGUGCUUCAUUUGCUUUCGAUUAUUGUAUAUAUGCAUCAAUAAAUAUAUUAUCAACUAAAUUAAUCAUUUCGAUUAAUCUUAAUGAAUUAGGUAAUUUGAAUGACCAUUCAUGCUACUCAAAUCCAUCAACGUUGACUUGAUUGGGUUUUGUUAAGAUCGGUGACCCAACCCACGUUGAGCAAGUUUUUUAAAUGUUUAAUUGGUAUGCUAUUUAAUAUAAUUUAUAUGUAUUUUGUUAUUAUUUUUAUAUGCAGUAGACUCUUAUUAUUUAUUAGUCGAGUCUUUAGACCAAAAUGGAUUUUAAUGACUAUGUACACUCAAUUUUCUAUUAUAAUUAGUUAUAUAUAUAUAUAUAUAAUUAAAAUUAAAUAGACAUAAUUAAAAUUAAGACAAUAUGUGUAUAAUAUGCUAACUUUUGAAAUAGAACCACAUCUCUUAUAAAAAAAUUAAAUUGAAUAAAAUAGAUAAUAAAAGUGUUAGCUCGACAUAGGCAUCAAACAUAAGUUUAUCUAAAAUAGACAAAAUGCAUUCAAAAUUAAACAAAUAUAGCAAGACUUUCAAUUUACAUAUAUAUAAUUAUAUUUUUAAAAUCAAUAAAUAACAAACAUAUGCAUGAGUGUAUUGAUGAGAGGGUAGGGUAAAUUAGGCAAAAAUUCACUAAAAUUCAUUUUUGGUAGAAGUCAAAGUUACUUGCUUCAACUCCACCAUAAUUUUUCAUCAAAAGAUUCAACUAAGAUAAUCAAACAUGCAAAAUUUUUGUCAAAAACAAAUUUGACACACCUCACCAUAAUAAACCAUGAUUUUGAGGUCAAUCCAAACACACUACACUGAGUUAUAAAUCCAAGAGUGUGUUUUCAUCUACAUGAAACAUCACAAUGCUAGUGAUUAUGUUGGAUGGGGGUGAGGGGAUAGGAGUCAUUUUAUUUAAUGACUGAAUUUUGAAAUUGUCUAGUAGCAUUAACGAAACACAAAUGGAUCCUCUGCAAUGACAUUAAUUACUACUAUGGAUAAUUCUAACUUUUUAUGACAAUUGACUUAUAUUAUUUCCAUACGAAAAAAAAUCAACAAUAUAAUUUGGAACAUGACUAAAAUAACGGGGAUCAACAGGAGAAUUUAGAGCUCAAGCAAGACAGUGAGUCACCGAGUUCACUUGUCUCCUGACAAAACAAUCUCAAAAGUUUGGUAGAUCAUGUAGCAUAGUCAGAUAGUUUCAUAAGAUCUCACCAUAUUCUAAUUUACCUAAGUGAUAGUUAUACACUCCAUUCUCCACUUGAAGGCAAUCAGAUUCAAUAAUGAUAUCAUCAAUCCCAGAUCUUUGAGCAUUGUAAGGCUACCAACAUGGCUAGGGCCUUCCUUUCAUGAGACCCAUUUGACCCUAUUUAAGCUCCAAGGAUGCAAAUAAAAGGUAGAUAAUUGGUUGGGGGACUAUUUAGGGUUUGAGGUUGCAGGUGCAAAGCUCUCCCUUACCCUCCAUGGCUUUCCUACCAUUUCUCAUUAUCUAUUUUCUUCUUGUAGUUAGGUUUACCCAUUUUAUGGGUUGAUGUAGUUGAAUCCAUCCAGAUGUUUACAUUUUGAUUAUUAAUCUAUGUUUAUUUUUCAUUAUUGAGUGUUAUCCUCUAUGCAUUAAUGUUUGCUUUGGCUUGACCACCCUUUUCUUGAUGUUGUGGUUUGAAUUGUCAGUGGAAAAUGUUUUUGAAUUUAGAAAUAAAGAGGAACACUUAAUGUGUUUUGUGUCUAGAGAUAGAACAAAGCUUGUCAUUUGGGUGGAUUAGUCAAGGGAUUGAUAGUUUGAUCAAGGGACUUAGAUUCUUUCCAUCCGAGGGACCAGGGUUUGAGUAUUUUUGUGAGUUGAUGAUUAUAAUUGGGCUUUGAACUAGAUUAGUGACCUUUGUUAGCAUGAGGAGGUGGUUUAGUGAAAUCAACCCUAACUCUUUUUUUAUUCAUUGUUAUUUUACUUCUUUUUAUCGCACUCCAAGUGUUUUUAAAAGUUUCCCAAAAAGAGUUUCUUGUUCUUUUUCUCUUGAACUUUAUGUUUAUUUCAUUUCUUGCUAUUUAUAUUGUUACAAUCAAAUUCUAAUUGUUGUUUCUGAAAGCCAUAAUUAAUCAAUAUAUCUAUUUUUUCGAGUAUUACGCAAGUCCGUGUGAAUACAAGAAUGGCAACAACAAAAGAGUGAAGGUUCGAGAGAAUGAGAGGGUUCGAAAAUGGGUUAGUGCCAGAGGUUUAGAAAUAUUAGAAAAAAUUAAGUAACAUCAGUUUUAUCUAAAAAUCAAUGUUAUAUACUAAUUUGACAAAUCGGUUUUCAAAACCGAUGUUAGCUAAUUACUAACAACAUCGGUUUUCAAAAAAUCGAUGCUAAAAUUGUACUAGCAACAUUAGUUUUCAAAAAACCGAUGUUAAGUUUUUGGUAGUAACAUUGGUUUUCGAAAAUCGAUGUUAAGAAGCUUCAGGUAUUUACAAAAAUGUCACCGCAUAUAAUUUAACAUCAAUUUUUCUUGUAACCGAUAUUAAAUUGGCGAUGUUGAAUGCAUAUUUUGUUAUAGUGUGGGUUAUCUUCAAAAUCUAACCCUUUAUGUACACAUAUUUAUGGGUCAUAUGGUCCAUGGACAUUGCCUUUUUAAUUAAGGGAAUGUUAAUAUGAAAUUACACGAUAGUAAGUCCUUGAUAAUAUUGAUUGGAUUAUGUUAACAUAAACUAUAUUCUUUAAUCUUCACAAAAAUGACAAGUAUAUAUGUAUUAAGAAAGUCGACGUCUAUUCAGCCCUAUAAAGGGAUAAAGUCCACUCAGUCUUCAAUAUGAUCGAAGGGUAUUCGUCCAUACAAUACACAUGCCCUCUAAUCCUCAAUUCAUUAAGAGGACAAAUUAGAUUACUAUUAGCCAAUAUCAUACAAAGCAUAUUCUUUUCUCUAGUAUUUUAGAGUGUGUUAUGUAUUAGCGGGUACUAAUGACCAUUUGGUCUUUUGUAGGACCAAUCAUUCAUCAAAGGGUACUCGUCCAUAUGGUACCUUGCUCCCUAAGCCAAUAAGUCCUUAAGAAAAUGAAGAAUCUUGAUGUAAUUGUCUUAUGCCAAAAGGUUUUCAUCCCUUCUUAUGAUUGUUGUACUCAAAGGUGCUUGAUUUUCUCUAGAUGUCUCACGUGUUGUAUCUGGCGGCGUGUUAGGAUGUGUUGCUUCAUUUUGCAGGUAUAAUUAUGAUCGUUGUAAGUUUAGGACAUGAAGCGACGCUUUUUUUCUAGACCAUUGAUCUCACAUGAUCCAAUGUUUGGGAAUAAUUGCAAUAUUUGAGCCUUCAUAGGCCCAAACUCUAUGUAUACCCCUUUCUCGUCCUUCUCCUUCCACACUUCAUUUUCUCAAACUUCAUCUUUCUUGUUUAUGUAGCCAAGAAGCCAAGCACUCGUUUCUUUUUAGGAUGUAGUUAUUCGUUUACUCAUUUACAUUAAUUACUUUUUCAUCUAUUUAUUUCCUAUUUUUCUAUUUAAUUAAAUGUCAACUUUAUCGUGAAGAUUAUUUAAUUAAAUGUCACAUUUGAUUUUCACACAUGUUUUAAAAUAAUUUAUAAGUGGUUGAGUAAGAUACAUGUUGUAAACCUCCUGAUAAAUGUCUUUGAUUCCUACAAAUAAAAAAGUCACAAUUAUUAUUUUUAUUUCCUUUCCAAUAAUUUUUUCAGAAAUUUUUUAUUUAUUCUAUGAUUAUAGUAAUUACAUGCUCAAAUAUGAACAUUUGAGUGUUUAAUUCUAUUAAUUUGUUUAAAAAUUAUAAUAAUAAUAAUUUUAAUACUAUUAUCACAAUUUUAACUUUAUUAGUCUUUUACUUAGUGAAUUUUAUAAUCUAUGAAAAUAUUGUGCAUGUGUAUUUCUAGAAGUAGACGGGAAAGAAUGUUUCUUAGAACAAAUAGACACUUGUAACUUAUAGGAAAAACUAUAUAGUAUAAAAAUAAAAAAUAAAAAUACACUCAUAUUUUUUUAAAAUAUUUAUGAAUAAAAUCAUAAAAAAUAUUUCAUACAUUUACAAUAUCGUCAAAAUAAAAAAAAAUCAAAUUAUGUUGUUUCUCCAAUAAUAAUAGAUAAAUAAAAACACACACACUCAUAUAUAUAUAUAUAUAUAUACAUACUAGUAUUAGAGCCCGUGCAAUGCACAUGCAAACUGAUCUAUUGUAAAUUAUUACAAAUUGUAAUUAUUAUAUGAUUGAAUUUAAAGAAAAACUAAUUUUACAUUGUAUUGCUAGGUUACAGUUGAGACUACUAAUCCUACAUCAAAACAUGCUUCUUCGAUAUUAUUGUGUUACAGUGAUAUAGAAUAACAUUUCUUCUUUUAAACUUUAUUUGUUUAAAAAGGGUGUUCCCAAGAGGACUGAGGAGAUUGAGUUUGUUGAUACUGCACAUUUUCUUGAGCUUUCAACACCAGAAAUGUUGCAUGGACUAUAGGUACCAUGAUCUUGUUGUUAUUUCUUCUGAUAUUUAAUAUAUUACCUUGAAUUUAAGCUUCUUUGCACAAAUUACAUACAAAUGCAAUUGUUGUAUUAACUUGUUUUACAAAAUUUGUGCUUAUACUCCAAAAAUGCAAAAUAACAAUUCAAUAUGUGUAAAACUAUUUUGAAUAAUUGAAGUACUAAUACAUGAGUAAUAUACUUUACCAAUUGAAGACCAAAGUUAAGCUGAUUGUUGAGGAUGUAUUUCAUAUUCCGCAUUAUGAAAAUUGUAUCUAUAGUUGACAUAUUUCUGUCCGUAAAUUAAGUAUAAAUUUUCUCAUUGGCUUUAAAUAUAAAUUUCAUAUUUUUACAUAAUUUACUGGGAGAAGAAGAGAAAAGAAAAACUCAACCUCAUAAUUUUACUUAUAAAUUCUAGACAUUAAUUUGACUUAUACUUGAUAUUUUAAAUAAAAUAAAAUAUUCAAUGAAUUAGUUAAGUGAAAAGAAAAUAAGCAAGAAAUAAGUUAAUUUUAGAUGUUAAUUUUAUUUAUACUUUUAUGUUAAAUAAAAUCAGAUAUUCAAUAAAUUAGUUAAGUGAUAAGAUACUAAGCAAGAAAGAAAAAUAAUUAUUUACACAAUUCUCAUUCAUUAUAUUUUAUUCAUAUUCUCUAUAAUAAAUAACACAAAGUAAUUAAAAAAUUAUUUAAGCUAAAAAACCAUUUAUAUUAUCAUAAUUUCAUUGAUUCAAAUUUCUCUUAGUUAUGGAAUUAUAUAUGUAUUAAAUAGGAAAAAAUUUACUCCUCAGUAAUUAAAUAUAGUUUUUUUGAAUAACAAUUCAAUAUGUGUAAAACUAUUUUGAAUAAUUGAAGUACUAAUACAUGAGUAAUAUACUUUACCAAUUGAAGACCAAAGUUAAGCUGAUUGUUGAGGAUGUAUUUCAUAUUCCGCAUUAUGAAAAUUGUAUCUAUAGUUGACAUAUUUCUGUCCGUAAAUUAAGUAUAAAUUUUCUCAUUGGCUUUAAAUAUAAAUUUCAUAUUUUUACAUAAUUUACUGGGAGAAGAAGAGAAAAGAAAAACUCAACCUCAUAAUUUUACUUAUAAAUUCUAGACAUUAAUUCAAUAUACUUUACCUUGAAUUUACUUGUUGUUAUUUCUUCUGAUAUUUAAUAUAUUACCUUGAAUUUAAGCUUCUUUGCACAAAUUACAUACAAAUGCAAUUGUUGUAUUAACUUGUUUUACAAAAUUUGUGCUUAUACUCCAAAAAUGCAAAAUAACAAUUCAAUAUGUGUAAAACUAUUUUGAAUAAUUGAAGUACUAAUACAUGAGUAAUAUACUUUACCAAUUGAAGACCAAAGUUAAGCUGAUUGUUGAGGAUGUAUUUCAUAUUCCGCAUUAUGAAAAUUGUAUCUAUAGUUGACAUAUUUCUGUCCGUAAAUUAAGUAUAAAUUUUCUCAUUGGCUUUAAAUAUAAAUUUCAUAUUUUUACAUAAUUUACUGGGAGAAGAAGAGAAAAGAAAAACUCAACCUCAUAAUUUUACUUAUAAAUUCUAGACAUUAAUUUGACUUAUACUUGAUAUUUUAAAUAAAAUAAAAUAUUCAAUGAAUUAGUUAAGUGAAAAGAAAAUAAGCAAGAAAUAAACCAAACAAAUAUUUCCAUUAAUCUCAUUAGUUAUAUUUUAUUCAUAUUCUUCCGUAAAAAAAUAUUUUAUUUGUAUUCUCCACAUUAAGUAAAACAAAGUAUUAAAAAAAAUAGUUAAGUUAAAAAAACCUUAUAUGAGUAAGAAUAUAAUAAAUAAGAAAUACAUCAUUUGCCUAUAAUUUGAUUUUAGCUACUAAUUUUAUUUAUACUUUCUAUGUUAAAUAAAAUCAGAUAUUCAAUAAAUUAGUUAAGUGAUAAGAUAGUAAGCAAGAAAGAAAAAAAAUUAUUUACACAAUUCUCAUUCAUUAUAUUUUAUUCAUAUUCUCUAUAAUAAAUAACACAAUGUAUUCAACAAAUUAGUUAAGCUAAAAAAAAAAAUUUAUAGUAUCAUAAUUUAAUUGAUUCAAAUUUCUUAGUUUUGUAAUUAAAUAGAAAAAAAUUUACUCCUCGGUAAUUAAAUAUAGUUUUUUUCUUUAAAAAAAUAUUUUUCUUCUUUUUUAUUUUAUAUAUAAUUUCUAUCUUUGACAAAAAAUUUAUUCUCAUAUAUUAAGUAAUGAUAUUCUUACUUGCUUUUAAGAAUCAUCUUUAUAUUUUAUAUUUAUUUUUUAUCUUUAGUAAAAAAGUUACUCCCCUUAAAUUAAAUAUAAAUUUUUUUAUUUGGUUUUAAAAUGAUCAUCUUUAUAUUAGGAUAGUAUUUGAGUUCAAAAAUAAUUUCUGAUCAGACUUUAUUUACCCUCAGUUGAACUCCAGAUUAGUCAAGACUCAUUUCCUCUUAUGAAUUGGAGGAUUAAUACCAGAAAAAAGUUAAAUUAAUACUUUAUAUUUGAAUAUAUAAUUUCUAACUUUAGUUGAAAUAUUCCUUUCAGUAAAUUAAGUAUAGAUUUUCUUACUUGCUUUUAAAAUAAAUUUAAUAUUUUUUUUUUAUUUUAUAUGUUAUUUCUAUCUUUAAGAAAAAAUUUCAUCUCGACAAAUUAAGUAUAAAUUUUGUUACUUGUCAUCUUAAAAAUAUCAUUUUCAUAUUUUUUAAAUAAUUCACCGGGAGAAGAAGAGGAAAGAAAAAUCUCACCUCAUAAUUUUACAUAUAAAUUUUAGACAUUAAGUUGUAGUUAUACUUGGUAUUUUAAAUAAAAUAUAAUAUUCAUUGAAUUAGUUAAGUGAAAAGACAAUAAGAAGGAAAUAAACCAAAAAAACAUUUGCAUUAAUCUCAGUAGCUAUAUUUUAUUCUUAUUCUACCUGAAACAUCACAAUGCUAGUGAUUAUGUUGGAUGGAGGUGAGGGGGUAGGAGUCAGUUUUAUUUAAUGAAUGAAUUUUGAAAUUCUCUAGUAACAGUAGUGAAACACAAAUGGAUCCUCUGCAAUGAUGUUAAUUACUACUAUAGAUAAUUGUAACUUUUUAUUAUAUUCUAAUUUUUAUGACAACUGACUUAUAUUAUUUCAAUACGAAAAAAAUCAGCAAUACAAUUUGGAACAUGUCUAAAAUAAUGGGGAUCAACUUGAGAAUUCAGAGCUCGAUCAAGAGAGUGAGUCACCGAGUUCGCUUGUCUCCCUACAAAACAAACCCAAAAGUUUUGUAAAUCACGUAGCAUAAUACGACAGUUCGAUAAGAUCACACCAUAUUUCGAUUUAUCUGAGCGACAGUUAUAUACUUCAUUCUCCACUUGAAGGCAAUCAGAUUCAAUAAUGAUAUCAUCAAUCUCCAAAUCUUUGAGCCAUUGUAAGGCUACCAACAUGGCUAGGGCCUUCCUUUCAUGAAUCAACAGUUUAAACGGGGAAGUGUGAGAUAAAGCCAUGACAAAUUGACCUCUAUCAUCCCUGAUAAACACAACCAACUUAAAAGAAUUUUCCUCUUUGACAAAAGCAACACCAAUAUUGCAUUUUAAAGUCCCUAGAGGAGGAGGUUCCCACCUUACUACCAUCAGAUUUGCAGUGGGUCUUAAGUAUGCCUUCUCAAUCACUCGAACUUUUCUCCAAUUGUCAAAAAACUCCUAAGCUUGAUGUACCUUAGGCUCAGCGCGCAAUCACUUACAACAAUUCUACUUUACAUAUAGGCUUCGUGCGACAUGCUAGGCUAAGUGUGCAGACAAUUAUGCAGAAACAACAGUGCAAUGCAUUUGACCCUAUUUAAUCUAUGUUUAUUGUUCAUUAUAAAAACCGUCUUUGAUCCCAAAGGUCAUUUUUAAUUAUUUUAUUUAUUUUCUCUUUCAUUAAUUCACAACAACAACACGAUGAACCUAAAGCUAAAAAGCUUCGAGAAAUGGGAUGCUCCUGAGGAGAACGGCAGAGAAGGAUGCAGUUCUUUUCGGAGAAAGAAAAUCAAGAAACACACCCUGGAGAAGGGAACGCUCUAGAGAAGAACCCUCACUGUGUCGCCAUGGUGUUGCCAGAGAAGGACGUAGGGGGCCGUCAAUUUCUUUUGCCGUUGUGGUAUUGUCAGAGAAGAAGCCUGUCGAGGACGUGCGACACAGAGUGAAGAAGACCAUGAAGCGGUAACCUCACUCACUCUCUCUCUCUCUCUCUCUCUCUCUCUCUCUCUCUCUAUUUUCCAAGUUUUCACUUCCACUUAGGGUUAGGUUUCUCUCUCUCUUCAAUUCUUUAGGUUUUUCUUUCUGUUUCUUCCUUUUCAUUCAAUUUUUAGGGGUUGUGUAACUGUAAUUGCAGAAAAUUGGUUCACGAUGGGCAUUAGUAUUAUGUGAUGGUAAAAAAAUGUGUGACACGGAAUGGUGUUUGUGCCAUAGCUUUUAUGUGGCAGUCAUAAUCUGACCUUGUGAGUGUAUUGCAGUGAGCUUUAUAUUAAAGCAUCUUCAAAAGGACGACCCUCUACAAUCAGGGAGGUUAAAGCUUUGAACAUUGGUCAACUUGUAAGAAUUUCUGGUAUUGUUUGGGUUUCGACUUUCAGGACAUGACUUGUAUCAAAUAAUUUUUUUUUGCUCUAUAUAUUGUUUAAUCCAUGAUUUGUGAUAAUUUUCUUAAUGUACUUCCAUUUAAACUUCAGAUUUGAGUAUCAUUGUUAUCAGUUUCAUACUCCUUUGUAUGAAAAUUACUAAUCUUUUAUUAAAGACAAAAAGUUCAAGCUUCAUAAUUAUAUCAAUCUGUUAAUUCUGUACAAGUUCUAUAAGGCUACAUCUAUAUGGAAUUCCAAUUAGUUGAUGGUAAUGAUGAUAUGGGAGUUUCUGGGGAUGUGGGUUUGAGUACGUAUGAAGUUCAGAUGCAUCAAGAAACAUAUGAAGGUGUGCUAUUCUAAUCAUUUAAAUUUUUAUAUGGAAUUCUGAAUGAAUAAAAAAAUUAGGCAUGUCAUGUAUAAAGCUUUGCAUCCUGUUUAUGACUUUAUGUUGUGGGCACUAUUCAUUUGUUUAAUGUUUGUUUUGCAUCCACACUGUCUCUCUGGCUUAUUCAUAUAAUUGAUUUUGUAAUUUGUGCCUGCAGAAUUUCAGCAGGAAGUGACAGAAUUUCAGGUUCAAUUCAUGUUCUCUACAUAGUUCUGUCAUGCUUAUUGUUGUCAAAUUGUUCUGAUUAUAAUUUUGUAUAGUAUGGGCAUUUGAUACAGAGACAGAGUGCUGGUCACUCAUGGAGACUCAGUGAUAGAAAUUGCUCUUGUGCAUUGUUACUAUUUUGAUAUUAUAUUACAUAUUUUUGUUCCAUCAUGCUAUUAUUGAUUAAUUAAAAUGUAAAAAAAUAAAAUAAAAGAACCAUUAUUACAUGCUGAAUGGUGAAUUCUACUUAAAGUUUUUUUUCCAUUACUAUCUGUUGUUUAUAUAUGUCCAGUGAUUUUUUCCAUUACGUGUUUGCUUGAUUCUAUGUUCCUUUUCCCGUUAUAUAUCCUUUCAAAUGGUAGGAAUAUAGUGCUGAAUUGGGAGAUACCAAAAAAGUGUACGAUGUACUUUACUUGUCUUUUUAUUUUUUUAUUUUUUAAUACUAUUCUUUAAAUUUAGUUAAUCUCAAUGUGUCCCGUUAUUAAUUCCUAAAAUAUUUUGUAUCUAUAAAGUUGAAGUUUGUAAAUUUAUAUUUUAACAUAUAUCAAAUUAAUAGCUCUCAUGAGUAAAUGCAGGUUUGUCGGAAAUUGUAGCUUCUUUAUCUUUGAGAAAAUGCAGGUAUGUUGGAAAUUGUAGCUCUCAUGCUCACAGAGGAAGUGUCUCCCAGUGAACAACCUGAUCUUUUUCUUCAAUUAGCUUUAACUUCAACAUUCUUUGCUGGGAUCUUUCAAGCCGCUCUUGGAAUUCUAAGGUAAUUAAUUCCUUAUUAGCAUUUCCAUUUUUAGUUAAACUAUAUACUUAGCCUCUAUAGUUAUUUUAAUUUUAAGUUUUAGUCUAGAUACUAGAAAAUGAUAAGUUUUAGUCUUUACAUAUAUAUUUUUGUUUACCAAGUUUUGGUCCUAGUAACUAAUAUCAGACUAGAAAAUUGAAAGACUUUACACAUUUAUUUUUACCUAAGUUUGGUCCCUCUCACUAACAUGAAUUUUUUUGCAGUAUAAAACUGCUCCAAGAACUUUCCACCACUGAUAAACUGGAAAAAAAAUUGUACAGAGGCUAAAUCUUACCGUUACUGUAUGAUAAUUUGUUUAAACUUAUUUCUUGAGAAAAACAUUUCUUUAAUAAAAUAAACAGUUUUUUUUUUUUUUACUUUUUCAGUAUGUUUGCUGAAUCUGUUUUUGCAUAAAAAGUAAAUUUUUAAUUUUAAAUAAUCUGACUCUUAUGCAUAGAGACUAAGAAACUUAAAAUUGAGACAACCAUAGAAAUUAAAUGAAUAGUUUAAGAGGUUAACCUUCAAUUUUUCAUUUGGAAAAUGACAAAAGAAAAAGGGUCUCAAGUGAAAUAUAAGGUAAAGUCUCAAAUGAUUGCAGGCUAGGAUUUAUCAUUGAUUUUCUAUCAAAGGCAAUCCUUAUUGGAUUCAUGGUUGGAUCAGCUGUAAUUGUAGCUUUGCAACAGCUCAAGGGCCUUCAUGGAAUCAAACAUUUCACCAAAAAGAUGCAACAGCUCAAGGACUAACAUUGCAGUAAGAUACUGCUUUAGCUAUAAAUAAUGGAAUUCUGGUUAUAGCUCUUGAAAUUAAUAAAAUUCUGCUCUUGCUUGUUAAGAUAAUUCACAAUAAAUUAACUCCAGUUAAUCUUAACCAGAUUUGUUGAGGAUCGGCUAGCUACCUUAAAAAAUGUCAACAAAGAGCCUGAGUUAGACCAAUGGAAUUUGUAUCUAGGUAGUUCUCUGUACCUGUUUAUGAUUUCUGCACCAUCCCUCAUUUUGUCCUGGUUAAUAACUAAACAGUUUUAUAACUAAACAUUCUCUCAUAAGUUGAAAAUUUUGAAAACUAAAUACUGUUAAAAUAUGGUCUAUGAAGGGUGAUAUAUUUAGUUUUAUGGUUGUUGGACUGAUGUUAUCUGACUAUGAUUUAUUUUACUGUUUAUGUAUUUUGCUAACUCUGUCCAAUAUACCAAUUAGAGUGAUAACAUGGACGCUACUAGUAACUAAACACAGGGAAGCUUAGUUAUAAUUAUUAUUUGUUUUUAAAAUAUUACUACAACAUUAUAUAGCUGCUUAUAAAUUCACUCCACUCUAUUUUUUAACAAUAAAUAUUGGUAGUUACUUUCUCUCUAGGUCAUACAGAGAUAAAAACAAAGAAUAGUUGAUACGAGAGUAUUUGUCAAAACAAAUUUACAAGUUAGUUGAAAAUUAAACUUAUAAAUUAGUUGAAACUCAUAAGAGCUGAAAUAAUAAAAAUUUAUAAGCUAGCUAGUUGAUUGAAUAAAAAUAUUUAAUAAUAUUAGCCAAUAAGCUAGUUAAUAAAUAUAAAAUGACAUAAAUAUUUAGAUUUAAUUACUUGAUAUAAAGAGAGAUAUAAAAUAAAUUAACAAAGAUAAAAAUAAAAAUAAAUAACCAGUUGCUUAUAAUAAGAAUAGGGGAUCGAAUAGAGUAAGAUAAGAAUACUGAUAAAUUAUUUUUGAACAAUAAAUUGUUCACAUAUCACUACUCCUUUUAUAAAUUUCACCAUUCAAAAUAAUUAUAUUGUUUGGCCUUGAGUUAUUCCAACCUCAACAAGAUUACAUGAAGAAGAGAACGAAAAUGCUUGGCAACAACACCACCAAAAAAAUGCUGAUGCAAGUGCUCCUUGUUCACAAAUCAAAAGUAGUAUAUAUAAUUCAUAGUUUUAUUAUCCCUUUCUUAUCUCUAAUUUCUUGUUCGUCUAUUUAGUUCUUUAGUAUUUAAGCCAUCUUACAGGCUUUAAUAAUGUAUUUAUUUUUAUCUACUUUCAUAAUGUAUUAAUUUUUAAUUGCAACAUAAACUUUGAGGUUCACAAAUCGACUAUGCUCUAUUUAGUGUCCACCAUUCAACACUUAUGUCGUUUAGCAUUCACUUAUUCUUCUGAUCAUUUGUUUAUGCCCUUGAAAUCACAUGUGCGCCUAUAGAGAAAUGAGUACGCUGCUUCCAACCUCAACAAGAGUACAUGAUACAGAGAACCAAAAUGCUUCUCAACAACACCGAAGAGAUGCAGGCACUCUCUUUGUCCUCAAAUCUAAAGGUAGUAAUCAUUCAUACAUAUAGUUUUCCAUUCAUACAUAUAUGGAUUCCAAUCACAAUUUGAAUUUUAAGAGACAUAAAUUUUCAUUGACUGGUGUGGAAUAUUUGGUUUGUUUUGUUUUAGGUGAAGGAUUAUAUUGCAACCCCUGAACCGAAUGGCUACCAGAGUCUUCAGACCACUGUGAUUCCAUUUUUGUAUGAGAAUGUUUAGGCUAGAAGUCUAGGUAUGCUUUUUAUAGCUGCAGUAGUUUGAAUUGGUUAGGCUUAUUUGUAUUGACAACGUAUUCUUGAGUAUGCAAAUUAAUUUUUAAAUUUUUUCUCAAUUAUUGUUGUCCAAUUUAUUAGCAUAAUUUUUAUUUAUUUUAAUAUACAAAGUUUCUCAUGCCUGCUCUGUGCAAGUUUGAAGUUGAGCUAGUUUCAUUUUUGGGGAUGUAAAGGCUCCAUACAGCAAAAAAAAACAAAUUGCAUUUCUACAUCAGUUCUGACAUGAUCGAUGUAGAAAUGUUUAACAUUCUACAUCAAUCUUGUAGUUGUGACCGUCGUUGAAUGCUGAGAAGGUCUCAUAUAAUCGAUGUAGAUUGUCUUUUUUCUAGUAGUGAUGAAUGCUUGCUUUGACUUGAUCACCCUUUUCUUGAUGUUGUGUUUUGAAUUGUCAAUGGAAAAUGCUUUUGAACAUAGAAAUAAAGAGGAACACCUAAUGGGUUUUCUGUCUAGAGAUAAAACAAAUCUUGUUAGUCAUCUUUUAACUCUUGUUCUUUAUGCAAGUCACUUAGGUAGAUUAGUCAAGGGAUUGAUAUUUUGGUCAAGGGACUUAGAUUCUUUCAUCUGAGGGAUUGAGGUUUGAGCAUUGAACUAGAUUAGUGACUUGUGAAUUGAUUAUUAUGAUUGGGCAUUGAACUAGAUUAGUGACCUAUGUAGCAUAAGGAGGUGGUUUAGGGAAGUUAGCCCUAACUCUUUUAUUCUUUGUUAUUUUACUUCUUUUUAUCGUACUCCAAGUGUUUGUAAAAAUUACCGAAAAAAGAUUUUCUUAUUCCUUUGCUCUUGAAUUUUAUGAUUGUUUCAUUUCUUGCUAUUUAUAUUGUUACAAUCAAAUUAUAAUUGCUGUUUCUGGAAGCCAUAGUUAGUGAAUAUUGGUUUUUUUAGUAUUACGCGAGUCCCUAAGAAUAUGAGAGUGACAACAACGAAAGAGUAAAAGUUGGAGAUAAUGAGAGUGUUUCAAAGUGAGUCAGCGCCAAAAAUUUAGAAAUAUUAAAAAUGAACUAAAAUCAGUUUAAAACUGAUGUUAAGUAAUUACUAACAACAUUAACAUUUGGGAAAUAUUUAUAGAACAUAAUAGAUAAUAGAUAUGUAAAAUAUAAAAUCAAAAUAAGCGUGAUUAGUGAUAUUAUUCACCCGUGUUUUAGCCCAUAUGUUUACAAAUUGCAUGAGUUUGCUCAAUUUCAUAAAUAAUACUAUACUUUUUUAUAUCUCUUUUUUUUUGUGAUUAGUAACAAAAGAUAAAAAGCCACCAUAUAUUAACAUUCUUAAAGAUAAUUGAAUAAAUGAAUAUUGAGAGUUUUUUUAAACUCUUCAUAUCGUAUCCCGUGUAUUCUUCUUCAAUCAUUUUCACUUUCACAAUUUAAUUAAGUACCAGGCAAUAACAACUGGGAAAAAAAAACUAACAAACGUGAUCUCCAUUCCCAUGUUUAUGUUUAUCUCAAAUUCAAAUUAUACCCAUUACUUGCUUUAAGCAUAAAUUUCAUAUUUUUAAUUCUAUAUGUUGUUUCUAUCUUUAAGAAAAAUGUUUAUAUCCACAAAUUAAGUAUAGAUUUAUUACUUGUCUUAAAAAUAUCAUUUUCAUAUUUUUACAUAAUUUACUAGGAGAAGAAGAGAAAAGAAAAACUCCACCUCAUAAUUUUACAUAUAAAUUCUAGAUAUUAAUUUGACUUAUACAUGGCAUUUUAAAUAAAAUAAAAUAUUCAAUGAAUUAGUUAAGUGAAAAGAAAAUAAGCAAGAAAUAAACCAAAAAAACAUUUCCAUUAAUCUCAUUAGUUAUAUUUUAUUCUCAUUCUUCUGUAAAAAAAAAAAUAUUUUAUCUGUAUUCUCCAUAUUAAGUAAAACAAAGUAUUCAAAAAAAUUAGUUAAGUAAAAAAAAAACUUAUACGAGUAAGAAGAUAAUAAAUAAGAAAUACAUCAUUUGCCUAUAAUUUCAUUUUAGAUAUUAAUUUUAUUUAUACUUUCUAUGUUAAAUAAAAUCAGAUAUUCAAUAAAUUAGUUAGGUCAUAAGAUAAUAGCCAAGAAAGAAAAAAAAUUAUUUACACAAUUCUAAUUCAUUAUAUUUUAUUCAUAUUCUCUAUAAUAAAUAACACAAAGUAUUCAAAAAACUAGUUAAGCUAAAAGAAAAAAUGAAAAAACAUUUAUAGUAUCAUAAUUUCAUUGAUUCAAAUUUCUCUUAGUUUUGUAAUUAAAUAUGUAUUAAAUAGGAAAAAAUUUACUCCUUGGUAAUUAAAUAUAGUUUUUUAUUUUCUUUUAAAAAAUCACUUUCUUCUUUUUUAUUUUAUAUAUAAUUUCUAUCUUUGGCAAUAAUCUUUAGUAAAAAAGUUACUCCCCUUAAAUUAAGUAUAAAUUUUGUUAUUUGAUUUUGAAAUAAUCAUCUUUAGGAUAAUAUUUCAUUUCAACGGAAAUAAUUUUCGAUUAGACUUUUUUUACCCUCAAUUGAACUCCAGAUUAGUCAAAACUUAUUUUUCUCUAAUGAAUUGGAAGGUUAAGACCAGAAAAAAGUCACAUUAAUAUUUUAUAUUUGAAUAUAUAAUUUCUAACUUUAGUUGAAACCGGUAAAUUAACUAUAGAUUUUCUUACUUUCUUUAAAAAUAAAUUUAAUAUUUUAUUUUAUUUUAUAUGUUAUUUCUAUCUUUAAGAAAAAUGUUCAUCUCGACAAAUUAAGUAUAAAUUUUGUUACCAGUCUUCUUAAAAAUAUCAUUUUCAUAUUUUUUACAUAAUUCAUUGAGAGAAGAAGAGAAAAGAAAAAUCUCACCUCAUAAUUUUACAUAUAAAUUUUAGACAUUAAGUUGUACUUAUACUUGGUAUUCUAAAUAAAAUAAAAUAUUCAAUCAAUUAGUUAACUGAAACAUCACAAUGCUAGUGAUUAUGUUGGAUGGAGGUGACGGGGUAGGAGUCAUUUUAUUUAAUGACUGAAUUUUGAAAUUUUCUAGUAGCAGUAGUGAAACACAAAUGGAUCCUCUACAUUAACGUUAAUUAAUACUAUAGAUAAUUGCAACUUUUUAUUAUAUUAUAUUUUUUAUAUUAUUUCCAUACGAAAAAAAUCAGCAAUACAAUUUGGAACAUUACUAAAAUUACGGGGAUCAACUUGAGAAUUCAGAGCUCGAUCAAGAGACUGAGUCACCGAGUUUGCUUGUCUCCCUACAAAACAAACACAAAAGUUUGGUAAAUCAAGUAGCAUAGUACAAUAGUUGGAUAAGAUCGCAACAUAUUUUGAUUUAUCUUAGCGAUAUUUAUAUACUUCAUUCUCCACUUGAAGGCAAUCGGAUUCAAUAAUGAUAUAAGAAAUCUCCAGAUCUUUGAGCCAUUGUAAGGCUACCAACAUGGCUAGGAGCUUCCUUUCGUGAAUGAACAGUUUAAACAGGAAACUGUGAUCGAGAUAAAGUCAUGACAAAUUGACCUCUAUCCUCCCUGAUAAAACAACGAACUUAGAAGAGUUUUCCUCUUCGACAAAAGUAGCGCCAAUAUUGCAUUUUAAAGUCCCUAGAGGAGGAGGUUCCCACCUUACUACCAUCAAAUUUGCAGUGGGUCUUAAGUAUAUCUUCUCAAUCACUCGGGCUUUUCUGCAAUUUUCAAAAAGCUCCUGAGCUUGAUGUACCUCAUGCUCAGUGUGCAAUCACUUACAAUAAUUUUAUUCUACAUACAGGCUUAGUGCGACAUACUAGGCUAAGUGUUAUGGCAAUUAUGCAGAAACAUGCAAUGCAUUUGACCCUAUUUAAUCUAUGUUUAAUGUUCAUUAUUAAGUUUUCUCCUCUAUGCAUUAAUGCUUGCUUUGGCUUGAUCACCCUUUUCUUGAUGUUGUAUUUUGAAAUGUCAAUGGAAAAUGCUUUUGAAUUUAGAAAUAAAGAGGAACACCUAAUGGGUUUGGUGUCUAGACAUAGAAUAAAUCUUGUUAGUCAUCUUUUAACUCUUGUUCUUUAUGCGAGUCACUUAAGUAGAUUAGUCAAGAGAUUGAUAGUUUGGUCAAGGGGCUUAGAUUCUUUCAUUUGAGGGAUUGGGGUUUGAGUAUUUUUGUGAGUUGAUGAUUAUAAUUGGACAUUGAACUAGAUUAGUGAUCUAUGUUAGCAUGAGGAGGUGGUUUAGUGAAGUCAACCCUAACUCUUUUAUUCUUUGUUAUUUUACUUCUUUUUAUCGUACUCCAAGUGUUCAUAAAAAUUACCCGAAAAGAUUUUCUUGUUCUUUUGCUCUUAAAUUUUAUGAUUGUUUCAUUUCUUGCUAAUUAUAUUGCUACAAUUAAAUUAUAAUUGUUGUUUCUGAAAGCCAUAGUUACUGAAUAUUGUUAUUUUUUCAAGUAUUACACGAGCCCCUAAGAAUACGAGAGUGACAACCACCAAAGAGUGAAAGUUCAAGAUAAUGAGAGAGUUUCAAAGUGAAUCAGCUCUGGAGGUUUAGAAAUAUUAUAAAAGAACUAACAUAAGUUUUAUUUAAAAAUUGAUGUUAUCUACUUAUUUGACAAAUCAGUUUUUAAAAACCAAUGGUAACUAAUCAAUGACAACAUCAAUUUUUUGAAAAUAUUUAUAGAACAUAAUAGAUAAUAGAUAUGUAAAAUAUAAAAUUGAAAUAAUCAUGAUUAGUGAUGUUAUUCACCCACGUUUUAGCCCAUAUGUUUACAAAUUGUAUGAGUUCGCUCAAUUUCAUAAAUAAUACUAUACUUUUUGAUAUCUUUUUUUUUUGUGAUUAGUAGCAAAAGAUAAAAAGUCACCAUAUAUUAACGUUCUUAAAAAUAAUUGAAUAAAUGAAUAUUGAGAGUUUCUUUAAACUCUUCAUAUCAUAUUCCGUGUAUUCUUUUCCAAUCAUUCUCACUUUCAUAAUUUAAUUAAGUAACACGCAAUAACAACUGGGGAAAAAAAUUAACAAACAUGAUCCCAUUCCCAUGUUUAUGUGUGCAACAAACUAGACCAAUAAAGUCAUAAGAAUAAAAAAAGGAUUUAUAAUGCAAACAGAUCUAAGAUUGAUGAAGGGAAAAAGAACCCGGUGUAUAUUUGUAUAAUUUUCAAAACCGACUAUGUAUCCCCUGCAUCUCCUCUACAAACAAAUGCUGGCCAUGUCUUGUACAAAUUAAUGCUCAACACGUAGCCGUGCAUGAUGCAUCCACUAAUUAACUUUGAAGAAGAAAAAAUGGCGAUCAAAUAAUUCCUGCGAAUUAAAGAAUUGUGACUGACUCUAACAUUUUUGACUAUGAUAAAAAAAAAAAAAACUUCUUUAAGUGGAAAGUUUUAUAAUGGGAGGUGAGAACUAAUUAACUUUGUGUUUUAUGUAAACUAGCAAGUAUUUCUUAGAAUGUACAAGCUUAUAUAUAAAUAUAUGUGAACUAUAAAUUAUAUCAGGAAAUAAAUAUCUAAUGUGUGUUACUCAUCAUUUCUAAGAAUAUUAGUCAUUACAUUUAAAGAAAAAAAUGUGAAAUAUAAAAAAUAUAAAUGUAAAAAAUAUCUAGACAUUAUUUUAUGUUAAUAUAUAAAAAUAGAAAUUAUAAUAUAAACAUGAAAACAUUUUAAUUUUUGAAAAACAUAAAAAAAUAAUUAAUGUAAUAUUAUUAUAAUGAGGACUUGCAAAUUAGUAUUUUAUGAUACUUAUUGCUUCACAUAUUAACUUAAUUAAACAAAAGAAAUUUUGUUUGCAUAACUAAUUUGUUCUUCUCUUGAUAAACAAACAAAAAUUGUUACUCCCUUCACACUAAAAAAAUUUAUCUUCUUAAGUUAUUUUACAAACACAAAAAUUAAUAAAUAGAAAAAAAGAAUAACAAUUUAUAAAAUUAACCUUAUAUCAUCUUUAUUUAUUUAUAGAUUUUAUUGUUCAUUAUUAAUGUUAUAAGAGAUAUAAUUAAGUGGAAAAAAGAAAAAAAAAGUUAUUUUGAGAUUUCAUUUUUUAUAUUUACACGAUAAUUAUAAUAAGACAAAAAAAUAUCAUGAAAUGGAAACUACAUUUAUGAUAUAAGGGAUUGACAUAAUUAAUUAUUUGUUACACAUUUGCCCUUAUUUAACAUAACUUAGAUAAUUGUAUAUGGAUUAUUCCACAACUACUCUCAUCAUAAAUAUCAAAUGAUGAUAUUUUAGGUUCAAUAUAUAGUUUGUAAGUACUAUUAAUUAUUUCUUAAACAUUGUAUAUGAACUUUGAAAAUCCAUAGUUUAGGUCUGGAGAAAAAAAUCAAUAUAUUUUGGAUUCAAAUGCAAAAGUGACUUAAAUAAGCAUAAUGUGUUCUAAUUUAUUGAAAACUAUAAAAUCAAAAAGAGAUAAUUAUUAAAUACCAUGUGAGAUUCAUAAAAGUUUUCUAAUUUUAGUAAAUUUCAAUCGAAAAGAGAAAUUAUGUUAAAAAAUGAUCAAGAUCACAUUAUCCUUUAUGGAAAGUAAUCAUGUUAGAGAUGUAGGAAGUUGAUUAUAAUUAUGACGAGUUAUUUUUCUUCAUAUAUUAUAAUUACAAUUUAUCUCAAAAAUCAAAAUCAUUCUCUUUGAUAAAUAGUUGUUGAAAUCACCUAUUUAAUAUAUAGUUAUACGUAACCACACAUAGUUUGGUAAAAAAAAUCUUAUAUUAAAAAAAAUAAUAAAGUGUUAAUUGUUUAUUAUUUAGUUUAAAAAGUUUAAGAUAUUGAUUUAUUUAAAACUAGAUACAUUUUUACCAAUUUAUUUUGAGAAAAAAAUUGCUAGAAGGAACACUUUCGUUCAUUUAAUUUUGUAAAAUUAAUCCACAUCAAAAGAACAACUAAUAAAUUCGCUUCCACUACGCGUGUAUCAGUUGGAUAUUAGUUCUUCUUCUUCUUCUUCUUCUUUUUUUUUUACAAGAUAUUGUGGCCAUAUUUUGUUCUAGUUUCUAGUUGUGUUUUUGGUAGACUUUUUGUUCUCUAAUAUUUAUAUCUCCUACUGAUAUAAAUAUAUAGUAACCAAUGUCCUACUGGCUUCAUAUAUUUCUGUAUAGGGUAUCUUUGGUACCUUUCUAUAAAUACAAUAUCUUUCCUCAGCCGACAAAAAAAAAAAAACUAAAAAAAAUGCAAGUCAAUGAUUUAGUAAAAAUAAAAUAAAAUUUGAAGUUUUCGAUACACACUAUUUGGUAUAUGUUUUAGUUGUUUUUUCAUAAAAGAAAACGUUUCUGUAAGGGUGUCAAUAAUUGAUAGUAAUUUAAUUAAAAUAAGUGAAAAAAUUUAAUAGUGCAUAAAAGGUGGCGAAUAGAAUGCAAGUUUCUAUAUGUCAACAAGUUUAUCAAUGGAAAAUCCCAUGAAUUUAUCCGGUUGUAAUAAAAAAUAAAAUAUAUAUUUGCACUCUUGAAAUAUUUUAAAAUGCUAGUUUUAAUUCUUAAUUAAUAUAUUUUUAACUUCUACAUUUAUAAAAAAAAGUGAUGUGAUUUUAGUCACCGGGCCGGAGAGACUAGAAACAUAUGUUUUUGUAAAAAUAUAGGGAUUAAAAACUUAUUUUCAAAUAUUUUUAAAAAAUAAAAAUACAUUUUUAUCAAAAAAUCACUUGGAUAGGAUUGGAUGAUUUUAAAAAUUAAAUAAAAUAGAUAACAAUCUGUCUAUUCUCAUUUUCAAAUUUUAUGGAUUAUCCAAUUAACACUGUAGAAUAAAACCAGUUAAACAUAAUUUUUUAAUAUUUCAAGUUCCUUUAAAUUUAUUAAAAAAAUAUUUUUUCAUAUAUUAAUUUUUAGUACUUAUUCAUAGGAGUGUCUAUAGAAUCCAAUAACUCAUGCACUGGAAUUGACCAAAACCCUUUAAUAUAAAUUUUGUUGUUAUUUCGGUAAAAGCCAAAACUAUAUUUCAAAUAAAUAAGAAAGUGUUAAUAACCGUUAUUUAAUUUUAAAAAAUUUGUAGGUAUUAAUUUGAUAAAAUAAAAAAAUAUUUCUUAAAUGUUAGUUUUAGAAAGAAUAGUCUAAACGAACACUUUCAUUCUUUAGUCAUAUGGAUUAAUUCACCUUAAUGACAACUCACAAAUUUAUUCUCUGGAUUUCAUACACAAAUUAAGCUCCAAAAGAAAAAAAAUCUUUAUGACAAUGAUAAUUGAUAUGCCGAACUAGAACGAUUAAUUAGUGUUAUUGACCUAAGUUUUAGCCCAUGUUUGCAAAUUGUAUGAGUUUGCUGAAUUUCAUAAAUAAUAUUAUAGUUCUUUAUAUCUCUUAUUGUUGUGAUUAGUAACAAAAGAUAAAAAGCUAUAUAUUAAUGUUCUUCAAAAUAAAUUGAAUAAGUGGAUAUUGAAAAUUUCUUUAAACUCUUGGCAUCAUAUUCUGUGUAUUUUUUCUCAAUCAUUCGCACUUUUACAAUUUAAGUACCACAAAAAAAAUUGAGGAAAAAAAAAACUUGACCCAUGCAUAUGUUUAUCUUUAAUUAACCCAAAUUAUACCCAUUAAUUAUUGUGCUGCAAACUAGACCAAAAAAUCUUAAGAAUAAAAAAAAGUUAAAAAGGAUAUAUAAUGCAAGCAUAUGUAAAUUGAGAAAGAAGAAAAAGAAAACAGUGUAUUUGUAUAUUUUUCAAAACCGAACAGCUAGCUAAAGGUUGGAAAUAAAAUUUAGAGUAAAGUAUACAAAUACUUACUGAGAUUUUGUUAAAUUUCUCUUGAUACUCCUUAUUUUAUUUGUUUUUUAAAAAAAAUAUAAAUUUCUUAAUUUUUCCUAUAUUAAACAUGUUUAAUUUUAUUAUUUAUUUAUAUUUAGUUAGGAUUAAUUUGACUUGUAGGUUCAGUUUAAAGCCAAGAUACAUAAAAAAUAUAUAUAUAUAAAGCCAUUAUGAACCAUCAAAUUUUCUGCCAAAGAAAAAUUAAAGUUGACCAAAGAAAAAUUAAAGUUGACCAACCUGCAGUCCAAUUUGCCUCGUACCUCUAGAAAUAAUUGCACCAAUUGUCUCUAUGCAUUUUAUUUAAGUAUGCAACAAAGGCAUAUGUCACUUUGUUUGCGCAAUGUGAAAACAAAGGCAUAUAUGUCACUUUGGAUCCCAUGUAUAUGCUAAAAGUUGUUUCUUCAUAACAUCGAUCCAUAACUUGUGGAUCCCAUGUAUUUUCUUAUUCUUUAAUUUCUGGAAUUGAUUAUUAUUAUUCUUAUUUAAUAUAGUAAGACCCGAAUCAGAUGAUUUAAUUAAGAAGACUUUCAUUAAUUAAAAUGUUUAUCCAAAGAAGGUUAGUUACAUGUUCACACACAUAAAACAAUAAUUAACUAGAAAUAUUGUAGUAUGAAUUAACAGAUAUUUAAAAAUUUGAUCCAAUCAUCUAUAUAAGAGGAAGGAGUGGUGUCCGAUAUAAUCACACCAACCAAAGCCACAAAAGAAAAGCAAUAGCAAUAGCAGUAGCAACAGCCCAUAUAAAAUAUAAUGGCAGAAACCUGCGACUCCAACAAUAAAGUGAUCCGUGAAUACCAUCAUGAUGCUUCCUUUAUGUCAAGGUGUGACAUCUUUACUGAUGUUACCGAGUACCAACCGUGUCUGGCAUAUGCCGGAGAAUCUGGUAAAGGAAACUUCGAACCUAAGUGGGACACAGACAAUGUCACUCCCCACCUUAUCGAGCAGUUCAAGCUAAAUUGUGCUGCCUCGAAUCUGCCAGUCAAAGUGUUUGUCAGCAUCGGAGGAGAUGACCCCUUCAAAGUUGCUGCUGGUGGUGCCGAUGAUUGGGUUCUCAAUGCCACAACCACACUCCACCACAUGAUCAACGAGUACCACAUCGAUGGAAUCGAUGUUAACUACACCACAAUCCUGUGCAACCAAAAAUUGUUUGUUAACUGCUUUAAGGAUCUCAUAAGGGGUCUAAGGGAAGCUCUAUGCACCACUGGGUUUGUGGCUUCCUUAGCUCCAGAUGCUGCCACUUAUGUUGUGUUUCAGUGCUUCGUUGAUUUUGAACCUCGAGAUCCUAACAGACCAGUUAAAAGCUUGGUGCAGCAUACUUACCAAAACUAAAUAUGAAUAAUUUUUUUCACAAAGAUCAAAAUUUAAAGAAAAUACAAACUUACAAAAAUAAAAAUGUAUUUAAGUCAUUUAAUAUGAUGAUUGAAAUAUUUAUCAUUCAAUAUUGAGAUUUUAGUUAAUUGAAUUUAAAAGAGAUUUAAUUGAUAUGAAUUUAAAAUUAAAGUAUGAAAAUUAAAAUUUAUCAACUAUUAUUUAUCAAUAAUCAAUGAUAAUGAGUUAAAAUCAUGAUUUAGACAUUCUUAAAUCAUCUUUACAUGUCAAAUAACAGAAAAAAUAUUUUUUAAGAAAAUAUUGUUUAUAUUCUUUGAAUGAAAAUUGAUUUUGAGGGUGUAAUAACCAAAAUGGAUUUUAAUGUCUAUGUACACUCAAUUUUCUAUUAUAAUUAGUUAUAUAUAUAUAUAUAUAUAUAUAUAUAUAUAUAUAUAUAAUUAAAAUUAAAUGGACAUAAUUAAAAUUAAGAUGAUAUAUGUAUAAUAUGCUAACUUGAAGGCAAUCGGAUUCAAUAAUGAAAUCAUCAAUCCCAGAUCUUUGAGCCAUUAGAAGGCUACCAACAUGGCUAGGGCCUUCCUUUCAUGAGUUUAAACGGGGAAGUGUGAGAUAAAGCCAUGACAAAGUGACCUCUAUCAUCCCUGAUACAACAACCAACUUAAAAGAAUUUUCUUAUUCGACAAAAGCAGAAUCGAUAUUGCAUUUUAAAGUCAUUAGAGGAGGAGGUUCCCACCUUACUGCCAUCAGAUUUGUAUUGGGUCUUAAGUAUGACUUCUCAAUCACUCAAGCUUUUCUCCGAUCGUCGAGAAACUCCUGAUCUUGAUAUACCUCAGGCUCAACACGCAAUCACUUACAACAAUUCUAUGUUACAUACAAGCUUAGUGUGACAUGCUAGGCUAAGCGUGCAGGCACUUAUGCAGAAACAACAGUGCAACGCAUUUGACCCUAUUUAAGCUCCAAGGAUGCAAAUAGAAGGUAGAUAACUGGUUGGGGGACUAUCUAGGGUUUGAGGUUGCAGGUGCAAAGCUCUCCCUUUCCCUCCAUGGCUUCCCUACCAUUUCUCAUCAUCUAUUUUCUUCUUGCUGUUAGAUUUACCCAUUUUAGGGGUUGACGUAGUUGAAUCCAUCCUGAUGCUUACAUUUUGAUUAUUAAUGUAUGUUUAUUGUUCAUUAUUAUGUGUUUUCCUCUAUGCAUUAAUGUUUGUUUUGGCUUGACCACCCAUUUCUUGAUGUUGUGGUUUGAAUUGUUAGUGGAAAAUGCUUUGGAAUUUAGAAAUAUAGAGGAACACCUAAUGCGUUUUGUGUCGGGGGGAUAGAACAAAGCUUGUUAGGGAGGGGUUUAACUCUUGUUUUUAAAGCAAGUCAUUUGGGUAGAUUAGUUAAGGGAUUGGUAGUUUGGUCAAGGGGCUUAGAUUCUUUCCAUCCGAGGGAUCGGGGUUUGAGACUUCCCGUGAUUUGAUUAUUAUAAUUGUGCUUUUUUUAAUGGAAAUGUUUUUUGGUUUAUUUCUUGGUUAUUUUCUUUUCACUUAACUAAUUCAUUGAAUAUUUUAUUUUAUUUAAAAUACCAAGUAUAAGUCAAAUUAAUGUCUAGAAUUUAUAUGUAAAAUUAUGAGGUGGAGUUUUUCUUUUCUCUUCUUCUCCCAGUAGAUUAUCUAAAAAUAUGAAAAUGAUAUUUUUAAGACAAGUAACAAAAUCUAUACUUAAUUUGUGGAGAUGAACAUUUUUUUAAAGAUAGAAACAACAUAUAAAAUUAAAAAUAUGAAAUUUAUGUUUAAAACAAGUAAGAAAAUUUAUACUUAAUUUACGGACAGAAAUAUGUCAACUAUAGAUACAAUUUUCAUAGUGCAGAAUAUGAAAUACAUCCUCAAUAAUCAGGUUAACUUUGGUCUUCAAUUGGUAAAUUAUAUUACUCAUGUAUUAGUACCUCAAUUAUUCAAAAUAGUUUUACACAUAUCAAAUUGUUAUUUUGCAUUUUUGGAGUAUAAGCACAAAUUUUGUCAAGCAAGUUAAUACAACAACGGCAUUUGUAUGUAAUUUGUACAAAGAAGCUUAAAUUCAAGAUAAUAUAUUAAAUAUCAGAUGAAAUAACAACAAGAUAAUGGUACCUAUAGUCCUUGCAACAUUUCUGGGGUUGGAAGCUCAAGAAAAUGUGCAAUACCAACAAAUUCAAUCUCCUCACUCCUCUUAGCAACACCCUUUUUAAACAAAUAAAGUUUAUAAGAAGAAAUUCUAUUCUAUAUAGUUGCAACACAAUAGUAUCCAAGAAACAUGUUUUUGAUGCAAGAUUAAUAGUCUCAGCUGUAACCUAGCAAUACAAUGUAAAAUUAGUUUUUCUUUAAAUUAAAUCAUAUAAUAAUUAUAAUUUAUGAUAAUUUACAAUAAAUCUGGUUGCCUAUGCAUUGCACAGGCUCUAAUACUAGUGUGUGAGUAUAUAUAUAUAUACACACACACAUUUUUCCCUUCUACUUCUAGAAAUACACACAUGCUCAAUAUUUUCAUAGAUUAUAAAAUUCACUAAGUAAAAAAAAUAAAGUUAAAAUCAUGAUAAUAGUAUUAAAAUUAUUAUUAUUAUUUUAAACAAAUAAGUAAAACUAAACACUCAAAUGUUCAUAUUUAAGCAUGUAAUUAUAAUAAUCAUGGAAUAAAUAAAAAAUGUCUGAAAAAAUUAUUGGAAAGGAAAUAAAAAUAAUAAUUGUGACUUUUUUUAUCCAUUGAAAUCAAAGACAUUUAUCAGGAGGUUUAAAACACGUAUCUUACUCAACCACCUAUAUAUUAUUUUAAAAAAUGUGCGAAAAUCAAAUGUGACAUUUAAUUGAAUAAUUUUAACGAUAAAGUUGACAUUUCAUUAAAUAGAAAAUAAGAAAUAAAUAGAUGAAAAAGCAAUUAAAGUAAAUGAGUAAAUGAAUAACUACAUCCUAAAAAGACACUAGUGCUUGGUAGCAUGAAAGAUGAAGUUUGAGAAAAUGAAGUGUGGAAGGAGAAAGACGAGAAAGUGGUAUACAUAGAGGUUGGGCCUAUGGAGGCCCAAAUAUUGUGACUAUUCCCAAACAUUGGAUCAUGUGAGAUCAAUGGUCUAGAAAAAUAGUGUCACUUCAUUUCUGAAACUUAUAACUAUCAUGAUUCUACCUGCAAAAUGAAGCAACUCAUCCUAACAUGCUUCCAGAUACAACACAUGAGAUAUCUAGAGAAAAUCAAACACCUUUGACUACAACAUUCAUGAGAAGGGAUGAAAACCUUUUGGCAUAAGACAAUUAUGUCAAGAUUCUGCAUUUUUUUAAGAACUUAUUGGCUAAGGGAGCAAGGUACCAUAUGGACGAAUACCCUUUGAUGAAUGAUUGGUCCUACAAAAGACCAGAUGGUCAUUAGUACCCGCUAAUACAUAACACACUCUAAAAUACUAGAGAAAAGAAUAUGCUUUGUAUGAUAUUGGCUAAUAGUAAUCUGAUUUGUCCCCUUAAUGAAUUGAGGCUUAGUAGGGGGCAUGUGUAUCGUAUGGACGAAUACCCUUCGAUCAUAUUGAAGACUGAGUGGACCUUUAUCCCUCUAUAAGGCUGAAUAGACGUAAACUUUCUUAAUACAUAUAUACUUGUCAUUUUUGUGAAGAUUAAAGAAUAUAGUCUAUCUUAACGUAAUCCAAUCAUUAUCAAGGACUUACUACCAUGUAAUUUCAGAUUAACAUUCCCUUAAUUAAAAAGGCAAUGCCCAUGGACCAUAUGACCCAUAAAUACGUGUACUAAAGGGUUAGAUUUUCAAGAUAUCCCACACUAUAACAAAAUAUGCAUUCAACAUCCCCAAUUUAACAUCGGUCACAAGAAAUAUAGAUGUUAAAUUAUACGCAGUGAUAUUUCCUUAAAUACUUGGAGCUUCUUAACAUCGAUUUUUGAAAACCGAUGUUACUACCAGAAACUUCACAUCGGUUUUUUGAAAACUGAUGUUGUUAGUACAAUGUUAACAUCAUUUUUUUUAUAAAAAAAAAUCAAUGUUGUUAGUAAUUAGUUAACAUCGGUUUUUGAAAAUCGAUUUGUCAAAUGAGUAGAUAACAUCGAUUUUUAAAUAAAAUUGAUGUUAGUUAUUUUUUUACUAUUUCUAAACCUAUGGCGCUGACUCACUUUGAAACCGUCUCAUCCUCUCUAACCAUCGCUAUUUCGUUGUUUCCACUCUCGUAUUCAUAGACACUUGCGUAAUACUAAAAAAAAUAGCAAUAUUGACUAACUAUGGCUUUCAGAAACAACAAUUAGAAUUUCAUUGUACCAAUAUAAAUAGCAAGAAAUGAAAUAAACAUAAAGUUCGAGAGAAAAAGAACAAGAAACUCUUUUUGGGAAAUUUUUAUGAACACUUGGAGUGCGAUAAAAAGAAGUAAAAUAACAAAGAAUAAAAGAGUUAGGGUUGAUUUCACUAAACCACCUCCUCAUGCUAAAAAAGAUCACUAAUCUAGUUCAAAGCACAAUUAUAAUAAUCAACUCACAAAAAUACUCAAACCCCGAUCGCUCGGAUGGAAAGAAUCUAAGCCCCUUGACCAAACUACCAAUCCCUUGACUAAUCUACCCAAAUGACUUGCUUUAAAAACAAAAGUUAAAAGAUGACUAACAAGCUUUGUUCUAUCUCUAGACACAAAAUGCAUUAGGUGUUCCUCUAUAUUUCUAAAUUCCAAAGCAUUUUCCACUAACAAUUCAAACCACAACAUCAAGAAAAGGGUGGUCAAGCCAAAGCAAACAUUAAUGCAUAGAGGAAAGCACAUAAUAAUGAACAAUAAACAUACAUUAAUAAUCAAAAUGUAAGCAUCAGGAUGGAUUCAACUACAUCAACCUCUAAAAUGGGUAAACCUAACUACAAGAAGAAAAUAGAUGAUGAGAAAUGGUAGGGAAGCCAUGGAGGGAAAGGGAGAGCUUUGCACCUGCUACCUCAAACCCUAGAUAGUCCCCCAACCAGUUAUCUACCUUCUAUUUGCAUCCUUGGAGCUUAAAUAGGGUCAAAUGCGUUGCACUGUUGUUUCUGCAUAAGUUCCUGCACGGUUAGCCUAGCAUGUCGCACUAAGCUUGUAUGUAAAAUAGAAUUGUUGUAAGUGAUUGCGCACUGAGCAUGAGGUAUAUCAAGAUCUGGAGUUUCUCGACGAUCGGAGAAAUGCUUGAGUGAUUUAGAAGUCAUACUUAAGACCCAAUGCAAAUCUGAUGGUAGUAAGGUGGGAACCUCCUCCUCUAAGGACAUUAAAAUGCAAUAUUGAUGCUGCUUUUGUCAAAUAAGAAAAUUCUUUUAAGUUGGUUGUUGUAUCACGGAUGAUAGAGGUCACUUUGUCAUGGCUUUAUCUGACACUUCCCUGUUUAAACCCAUGAAAGGAAGGCCCUAGCCAUGUUGGUAGCCUUCUAAUGGCUCAAAGAUUUGGGAUUGAUGAUUUCAUUAUUGAAUCCGAGCCUUCAUGUUAGCAUAUUAUACACAUAUUAUCUUAAUUUUAAUUAUGUCCAUUUAAUUUUAAUUAUAUAUAUAUAUAUAUAUAUAACUAAUUAUAAUAGAAAAUUGAGUGUACAUAGACAUUAAAAUCCAUUUUGGUUAUUACACCCUCAAAAUCAAUUUUCAUUCAAAGAAUCUAAACAAUAUUUUCUUAAAAAAAUAUUUUUUCUGUUAUCUGACAUGAAAAGAUGAUUUAAGAAUGUCUAAAUCAUGAUUUUAACUCAUUAUCAUUGAUUAUUGAUAAAUAAUAGUUGAUAAAUUUUAAUUUUCACACUUUAAUUGUAAUUUCAUAUCAAUUAAAUCUCUUUUAAAUACAAUUAGUUCAAUUAACUAAAAUCUCAAUGUUGAAUGAUAAAUAUUUCAAUCAUCAUAUUAAAUGAUUUAAAUACAUUUUUAUUUUUGUAAGUUUGUAUUUUCUUUAAAUUUUGAUCUUUGUGAAAAUAUUAUUCAUAUUUAGUUUUGGUAAGUAUGUGUUUUUUCCAUUUUUAUCCUUGUAAAUUUUAAUAUUUAUUUUUAGUCCCUGUAAAUUUGUAUUUUUCCAAUAUGAUUUUGGGCAUUGUAAUUAAGCAUGAACUUAUGCAGAUUUUUUUUUAGUUUGAAUUCAACCCGAGUCCGACAACAAGGGCCGCAAAGUCGGUUUGAAUUAAACAAACUAUGUAUUGAUUCAAAAUUAACCGAAAAGUACAAGGCGAUCGCUAGGAUCCAGCCACCAAAAAGGACAAACGCAAACCAGAGAAAAAUUAACCCAUCAUAAGAUUAGCUAUGUGAUCUCUAAGAUACCCACUAUACCAACCUCUGUAAACUAUCAUAUCUAUAAUAUUAUCCGCUAUUUUUGUAUUAUCAACAGUAUUACCGAAACUCUUAUCGUUACGGUAUCUCCAGAUUCCAUAUAAAGUUUCAGCAGCGGCUAGUUUCAAAAUUGCAUGUCUCUUUCCCUUCCCUUUUGUGGAUGAAAUUAACCACUCUAACUCAUCAUUCCACUCACGCGGUACUCUCUUAAUUUGAACCCAAUCAAGAACUUUAGUCCAAAUAAUUUUAAGCUCCGGGCAGCCAUAAAACAAGUGAUUAAUAGAUUCUUCAGCAGGACAAAAGCAACACUUACUAUCUUCAAUCAUACCAAAUUUUUUCAGACGGUUUUUGGUGGCUAACCGCCCAUGACAAGCAAGCCAUAGAGUCAUCAGAGCUCUAGGCCUCGCUGUAUUCCCCCGAAACAGAUUACGCCAGCGCACUUUUGAAGUGUUGGUGCAAAGACUUUUAUAAACCUCCUUCAUACCAAAUCGAUUUUUCUCUAGCAUGCUGUCCCAUAUAGAUUGGAUAUCCAAAAUGCUACUACGAUGCUUCAGGAUACUUUUCAUAAUCCAAGAGUUGUGAAUCUUUACACUCACAUUCAUCAGUGUGUCCUUAUUCAAGUAGUAGGCAUUUACCCACUUCACCCAAAGACUAUCAGAUUUGCCACUAAGAUUCCAAAGGAGUUUCAGCAUAGUUACCUUAUUCCAAACCGAAAGGUCAAUGAUGUUUAACCCUCCAUAAUCCUUCGGUUUACACACAGAGUCCCAAGCAACUGGACUUUUUCUCUUUAGCUCUUGCCCUCCUGUCCAGAGGAAAGAUCUGCAAAUAGCUUCAAUUUUGUGAACAACAUACUUCGGGAUAGGAAAGCAUUGCAUCCAGUAAUUUGCAAUAGCAAACGUCACACUCCUUAUAAGCUGAACACGGCCUGCAUAAGUCAAAAGAUUAGUGCUCCAGUGAUUGAUUCUCCCCACUAUCUUAUCCACUAAAGGCAUAUAGUGGUGAAUAGAAAGUUUUUUACUAGUGAGCGGGACCCCCAAGUAACGGAAAGGAAGAGGGCCUUCAGUAAAACCAGUAAGAUUGAGAAUAUUCCUCUUGCUAUCGUCCCCCACACCACCAAAGUAAAUCUUACAUUUACUAGGAUUAGCAAUAAGACCAGUGGACUCAGAAAAAUUCUUGAAAGCCUUCACCAUAAGAUCCACAGAUAUUGGAUCACCUCUCGAAAAAAGAAGUAAAUCAUCUGCAAAAGCCAGAUUAGUAAUACUAAGCUUUUCACAUUUAGCAUGAUGGUUAAAAUUAGGAUUCUUCUGCAUGUCAUACAUAAUUCUAUUCAGAUAUUCCAUAACAAUAACAAAAAGGAGGGGGGACAUGGGGUCUCCCUGACGGAGUCCACGCUUAGCCUGCAAAAGGUUAGAGUGACAACCAUUGAUAUUGAAACGGUAAGAAACAGUGGUCACAGCUAUCAUGAUCCAUCUGAUAAAUUGUUGAGGCACACCAAUCUCUUUAAGAAUACAUUCCAGUGCAUCCCAGUUAACCAUAUCAUAAGCUUUCUGGAGGUCUAUUUGCAUCAUACAGCGGGGAGUCCCACCUUUCCGAGAGUAACCCUUAAUCAGCUCGUAAGCAAGUAGAAUGUGAUUAUGAAUUUUUUGGCCGGGGACAAAAGCAGCUUGGUUCUUACCAACGAUACUAUCCAUCACCCUACCCAUUCUAGUGGUAAUAAUUUUAGAAAUUAUUUUAUAUACUGUAGUGCACCCGGCAAUAGGUCGAUAUUCCUUAAUAGUUUUGGCUUCCUCAUUUUUUGGAAUGAGAGUUACCAAAGUACAAUUGAAAGCCUUGUAGAUCCGAUCAUUCUCAAAGAAAUCUCUAACAGCAGCCACCACAUCUUUCCCUAUAAUAUUCCAGCUGGUUUUGAAAAAUUUUGCUCCAAAACCGUCUAUUCCCGGGCUUUUUGUGUCACCAAUGCCAUUCAACGCUUUACGGAUUUCUUGGUCGGUAAUGGGGGCUACAAGCUGUUCCCUCUGUUCCAUACUAAGUUGAGGCCCCCCUCUCAUGGCCAUAAUAUUAAUAUGACGCACAUUACCAUCUUUUGUCCCCAUUAAACCCUCAUAGAAAUUUAAGACUUCGUCCUGAAUUUCGUCAUGAGAUGUAAUAACCGUACCAUCAUCCUUAUGCAGCAAAUUCAGCCUUUUGGAACUCUUUUUAGCUUUUAUGGUAGCAUGGAAAUAUGAGUUAUUUCCAUCACCCAAUCGAAGCCAAUCAAUUUUGGAUUUUUGUUGUAAUGUUUUCUCUUCCAGGGAAUUCCAAUUGAUAACCUCCUCUGUAUACCGCUUAACAGUAUCAAUUUUACUGCUAUUCCAUCUAUCUUCUACAAGGCUUUUUUGGGCAUGUUGCAGAUUUUGUCUAGCCUCCAUUAUUCUAGACUGGAUAUGAUGCAGAGGCCUGUUGAUUUUAUUCAAAGCAGGUUUGAGCCGUUUGAGCUUCUCCCAAAGCACAUACAUCGGUCUACCAUUCAGUGGUUCGUUCCAACUAUUACUAACAGUGCUAUGAUAUUCCUCCAAAUCUGUCAAACAGUUUGAGAAUUUAAAAUGAAAUUGCCGACCUGCAGUAUUCCCUGGAUCAGCCAAACAAAGUAAAGCGUGCUCCGAUACGCUCGGAGGCAGGAUUUGGAGCAUUGUGUCCAUGUUGUCUUGGAACCAUUCCACAUUCCCCACCACCCUAUCGAUUCUAGAAUAGAUCAUACCAUCAGUUUGCUUAUUCGACCAAGUAUAGUAGUCACCCGUGCUAUCCUUUUCAAAAGUUCCCGUAUUUCGCAUCAUUUUUGUCAAGUCUUCAUAUUCUGACUCGGUGACCAAAUUACCACCCAUUCUAUCUUUAGCUUUCAAAACGUUAUUAAAGUCACCAAGCAAGACCCAAGGACCAUGUUGAUUGCCAUGAAUACAUUCGAUAUCAGUCCACAAAGUUCUACGCUGAUCCAGCUUAUUAAGGGCAUAGAUCGCUGUGAUCCAAUAAAGAAAAUUACCUGUCAGAUCAUAAACGCCACAAUGGAGCAAUUGACUUGUCUCCCUAAUAUACUUUAUGGUAACCUUGUUAGUAUCCCAAUUUAACCAGAUUCUGCCGUUGGAAUGGCUAGAAUAAUUGUCCAAAAACUCACCUUGCAACCUGACUUUAUUUCGAAUAUUGCGAGCCUUAACUUGUUUUACCCUUGUCUCAAUUAAGAUCGUGAUCGUAGGCCGAAGCUCUAGAAGACGGGAGCCUAUCUCCUUUAGCUUACCUACAUUAUUAAGCCCCCUAACAUUCCGGCUAAUUAUCAUGCAGAUUACAAAUGAAUAAAUUAGAAUCUUAAAGGGACUAAAAUCGAAAAAACAUAAACUUACAAUACAAGGAUUAAAAAUAAACAAAAAACUUACAGGAAUUAAAAUUUUGAAAACAACUUUCGGGGACUAAAAUUAAAAAAAUACAUUCAAAAGGAUAAAAAAUAAAUAAAAAAGACUAAUUUACAAGUACCAAAAACAUAUUUAAAUCUAUUGAGAUUAUAUAAUAUUUUGGAAGAUUGCAAGUAUAUUAGUUUUUAAUACAUUUCUUAUUCGAAUUUUACUAAACGUGAAUUAGAAUUUAUUAUUUUAUUUUAAGAGAAUUAUAAUUAUCGGUAAAUUGAGGGGGGAUAAAACAUAGAGAGAGAUCUUCACUAAUGGGUGGUUACACACUCAUCCCAUAAGUAAACUUGACACUAAUAUUAUCAAACUUGAUCGGGAGUUUACAUAAACUCGUCAAAGUUCUAAAGACUCGACUCGUAGAUCCAUAGAAGUCUACUUCAUAUAAAAAUAAUAACAAAAUACAUAUAAAUUAUAUUAAAUAGCAUAUCAAUUAAACAUUUAAAAAACUUGCUCAACCUGGGCUGGGUCACCGAUCUUAAGAAAACUCAAUCAGGUCAACUUUGGUGGAUUCAUAUACAUUAUUAUGUGUAAAGUUUCCUGUAUGUAAGAUUCAAUUACCUAAUUCAUCAAAAUUAACGAAAAUGAUUAAUUUAGCUGAAAACAUAUGUUAUUGAUACAUAUAUAUAAUAAUCAAGAGCAAAUGAAGCACAAAGACAUAUAAUAUAUUUUAUUGAUGAGACAAAGAUGCACGUAGGCAUUAACACAGCACAAAUAUGCAUGCCAUGCAUUGUUUUUUCAAAUGCACGCACAACAUAUAUAGAUAUAGGCAGAAGGAACACACACAUACAAUUAAUAGAUAUAGCAUGGGUCUUAUUCCAUAUAUAGAAUGGCUAGAGCCAUGAAUGCAUAGAUAGAACUUAAUAAUUAUGGAUCUUCAAUUAAGGAUAUUUUCCAGGAUCGGAGACGGCCAAAGACAGGAGUUUAGGGAUCCACGUUGGGGGAAUGAAGGCAUAGGUGUCACUAAGAACCUUGACAGAUGCGCCCUUAACCCUAGGCCAAGAAUGCACUAGGCGAUUGAGAGCAAGAAAGAAGAGGGGUGGUGAAACUUUAUUCCAAUCCUCCUUAAUGGCGCUGUAGCCAAGCAAGAUCUUAGAGUCAUAAUAAUCAUACUCUUCCACUAUCUUCUCAACCUGGCGCACCAAGAUUUCAACUGAUCUGUUAGGAUCUUUAGGUUCGAAAUCAACGAAGCACUGAAACACAACAGUUCCAAUCCAAGAAGUAUCAAUAGAUCGGUACAAGGGCAAGUAGAAAGCUUCAUUGGUGGCAGCAUCUGGAGCUAAGGAAGCCUCAAACCCAGUGGUGCAUAGAGCUUCCCUUAGGCCCCUUAUGAGAUCCUUAAAGCAGUUAACAAACAAUUUUUUGUUGCACAGGAUUGUGGUGUAGUUAACAUCGAUUCCAUCGAUGUGGUACUCGUUGAUCAUGUGGUGGAGUGUGGUUGUGGCAUUGAGAACCCAAUCAUCGGCACCACCAGCAGCAACUUUGAAGGGGUCAUCUCCUCCGAUGCUGACAAACACUUUGACUGGCAGAUUCGAGGCAGCACAAUUUAGCUUGAACUGCUCGAUAAGGUGGGGAGUGACAUUGUCUGUGUCCCACUUAGGUUCGAAGUUUCCUUUACCAGAUUCUCCGGCAUAUGCCAGACACAGUUGGUACUCGGUAACAUCAGUAAAGAUGUCACACCUUGACAUAAAGGAAGCAUCAUGAUGGUAUUCACGGAUCACUUUAUUGUUGGAGUCGCAGGUUUCUGCCAUUAUAUUUUAUAUGGGCUGUUGCUACUGCUAUUGCUAUUGCUUUUCUUUUGUGGCUUUGGUUGGUGUGAUUAUAUCGGACACCACUCCUUCCUCUUAUAUAGAUGAUUGGAUCAAAUUUUUAAAUAUCUGUUAAAUCAUACUACAAUAUUUCUAGUUAAUUAUUGUUUUAUGUGUGUGAACAUGUAACUAACCUUCUUUGGAUAAACAUUUUAAUUAAUCAAAGUCUUCUUAAUUAAAUCAUCUUAUUCAGGUCUUACUAUAUUAAAUACAUGGGAUCCACAAGUUAUGGAUCGAUGUUUAUGAAGAAACAACUUUUAUAUACAUGGGAUCCAAAGUGACAUAUAUGCCUUUGUUUUCACAUUGCGCAAACAAAGUGACGUAUGCCUUUGUUGCAUACUUGAAUAAAAUGCAUAGAGACAAUUGGUGUAAUUAUUUCUAGAGGUACGAGGCAAAUUGGACAGCGCAUAGGCUAGAAUGUGAAAAUUUGAUGUUUAUGAAGAAACAACUUUUAGAGGAUGCAGGGAACACAUAGUCGGUUUUGAAAAUUAUACAAAUACACUGUGUUCUAUUUCUCUUUAUCAAUCUUAGAUCUAUUUGCAUUAUAAAUACUUUUUUUAUUCUUAUGAUUGUAUUGGUCUAGUUUGUUGCACAAUAAUGGGUAUAAUUUGGAUUAGAGAUAAACAUAAGCAUGGGAAUGGAGAUCACGUUUGUUAAUUUUUUUUCCCCAGUUGUUAUUGCGUGGUACUUAGUUAAAUUGUGAAAGUGAGAAUGAUUGAGAAAGAAUACAUGGAAUAUGAUAUGAAGAGUUUAAAGAAACUCUCAAUAUCAAUUUAUUCAAUUAUUUUUAAGAACAUUAAUAUAUGGUGGCUUUUUAUCUUUUGUUACUAAUCACAAAAAUAAGAGAUAAAAAAAAGUAUAGUAUUAUUUAUGAAAUUGAGUGAACUCAUACAAUUUGUAAACAUAUGGGCUAAAACACGGGUAAAUAACACCGCUAAUAACAAUUUUUUUAAUUUUAUAUUUGACAUAUCUAUUAUCUAUUAUCUUCUAUAAAUAAUUUUAAAAAAUUUAUGUUGUUAGUAAUUUUGGAAACCAAUUUAUCAAAUAACUAGAUAACAAUGGUUUUUUAAAUAAACUUGAUGUUAGUUCUUUUUUAAUAUUUCUAAACCUCUGGCACUAACUCACUUUGAAACCCUCUCAUUAUCUCGAACUUUCACUCUUUCGUUGUUGUCACUCGUAUUCUCAGGGACUCACGUAAUACUCAAAAAAAUAACAAUAUUCACUAACUAUGGCUUUCAGAAACAACAAUUAUAAUUUGAUUGUAACAAUAUAAAUACCAAUAAAUGAAACAAACAUAAAAUUCAAGAGCAAAAUAACAAGAAAAUAUUUUAGCUCAAUUUUAUUGACACAAGUUUUAGCUCAUGUUUGCAAUCUAUAUGAGUUUGCUCAAUUUCAUAAAUAAUACUAUAGUUUUUUAUAUUUCUUAUUGUUCUGAUUAGUAACAAAAGAAAAAAAACUAUAUAUUAAGGUUCUUCAAAAUAAAUUGAAUAAGUGAAUAUUGAGAAUUUCUUUAAACUCUUCGCAUUAUAUUUUCUGUAUUCUUUCUUAAACAUUCUCACUUUCACAAUUUAAGUACCACACAAAAAAUUGGAGAAAAAAACAAACUUGAACCAUGCAUAUGCUUAUCUCUAAUUAACCCAAAUUAUGCCAAUUAAUUAUUGUGCUGCAAACUAGACCAAAGCCGGCUUUAUGAACCAUCAAAUUUUCAGCCAAAGAAAAAUUAAAGUUGACCAUCAAAUUUUCACAUUCUAGCCUAUGCGCUGUCCAAUUUGCCUCGUACCUCUAGAAAUAAUUGCACCAAUUGUCUCUAUGCAUUUUAUUUAAGUAUGCAACAAAGGCAUACGUCACUUUGUUUAUGUAAAACCUUAUUCAUAGGAGUCUCUAUGGGAAUGAAUAAUUCAUGUACUUGAACUGAUAAAAAACUUUUAAUAUGAAUUUUGUUGCUAUUUCGGUGGAAGCCAAAACUAUAUUUGAAAUAAAUAAGAAAAUGUUAACCGUUAUUUAAUUUUAAAAAGUUUUAGGUAUUAAUUUGAUAAAAUAAAAAAUAUUUCUUAAAUGUUAAUUUUAGAAAGAAUAGUCUAAACGAACACUUUCGUUCUUUAGUCAUGUAGAUUAAUUCACCUCAAUAAUAACUCACAAAUUUAUUUUAUGGAUUUCAUACAUAAAUUAAAACUUUGGAAGAAAAUUUUUUUAUGUGCCAAUGAUAAUUGAUAUGCAGGACUAGAACGAUUAAUUAGUGUUAUGAACCAUCAAAUUUUCAGCCAAAGAAAAAUUAAAGUUGACCAUCAAAUUUUCACAUUCUAGCCUAUGCGCUGUCCAAUUUGCCUCGUACCUCUAGAAAUAAUUGCACCAAUUGUCUCUAUGCAUUUUAUUCAAGUAUGCAACAAAGGCAUACGUCACUUUGUUUGCGCAAUGUGAAAACAAAGGCAUAUAUGUCACUUUGGAUCCCAUGUAUAUAAAAGUUGUUUCUUCAUAAACAUCGAUCCAUAACUUGUGGAUCCCAUGUAUUUAAUAUAGUAAGACCUGAAUAAGAUGAUUUAAUUAAGAAGACUUUGAUUAAUUAAAAUGUUUAUCCAAAGAAGGUUAGUUACAUGUUCACACACAUAAAACAAUAAUUAACUAGAAAUAUUGUAGUAUGAUUUAACAGAUAUUUAAAAAUUUGAUCCAAUCAUCUAUAUAAGAGGAAGGAGUGGUGUCCGAUAUAAUCACACCAACCAAAGCCACAAAAGAAAAGCAAUAGCAAUAGCAGUAGCAACAGCCCAUAUAAAAUAUAAUGGCAGAAACCUGCGACUCCAACAAUAAAGUGAUCCGUGAAUACCAUCAUGAUGCUUCCUUUAUGUCAAGGUGUGACAUCUUUACUGAUGUUACCGAGUACCAACUGUGUCUGGCAUAUGCCGGAGAAUCUGGUAAAGGAAACUUCGAACCUAAGUGGGACACAGACAAUGUCACUCCCCACCUUAUCGAGCAGUUCAAGCUAAAUUGUGCUGCCUCGAAUCUGCCAGUCAAAGUGUUUGUCAGCAUCGGAGGAGAUGACCCCUUCAAAGUUGCUGCUGGUGGUGCCGAUGAUUGGGUUCUCAAUGCCACAACCACACUCCACCACAUGAUCAACGAGUACCACAUCGAUGGAAUCGAUGUUAACUACACCACAAUCCUGUGCAACAAAAAAUUGUUUGUUAACUGCUUUAAGGAUCUCAUAAGGGGCCUAAGGGAAGCUCUAUGCACCACUGGGUUUGAGGCUUCCUUAGCUCCAGAUGCUGCCACCAAUGAAGCUUUCUACUUGCCCUUGUACCGAUCUAUUGAUACUUCUUGGAUUGGAACUGUUGUGUUUCAGUGCUUCGUUGAUUUCGAACCUAAAGAUCCUAACAGAUCAGUUGAAAUCUUGGUGCGCCAGGUUGAGAAGAUAGUGGAAGAGUAUGAUUAUUAUGACUCUAAGAUCUUGCUUGGCUACAGCGCCAUUAAGGAGGAUUGGAAUAAAGUUUCACCACCCCUCUUCUUUCUUGCUCUCAAUCGCCUAGUGCAUUCUUGGCCUAGGGUUAAGGGCGCAUCUGUCAAGGUUCUUAGUGACACCUAUGCCUUCAUUCCCCCAACGUGGAUCCCUAAACUCCUGUCUUUGGCCGUCUCCGAUCCUGGAAAAUAUCCUUAAUUGAAGAUCCAUAAUUAUUAAGUUCUAUCUAUGCAUUCAUGGCUCUAGCCAUUCUAUAUAUGGAAUAAGACCCAUGCUAUAUCUAUUAAUUGUAUGUGUGUGUUCCUUCUGCCUAUAUCUAUAUAUGUUGUGCGUGCAUUUGAAAAAACAAUGCAUGGCAUGCAUAUUUGUGCUGUGUUAAUGCCUACGUGCAUCUUUGUCUCAUCAAUAAAAUAUAUUGUAUCUCUUUGUGCUUCAUUUGCUCUUGAUUAUUAUAUAUAUGUAUCAAUAACAUAUGUUUUCAGCUAAAUUAAUCAUUUUCGUUAAUUUUGAUGAAUUAGGUAAUUGAAUCUUACAUACAGGAAACUUUACACAUAAUAAUGUAUAUGAAUCCACCAAAGUUGACCUGAUUGAGUUUUCUUAAGAUCGGUGACCCAGCCCAGGUUGAGCAAGUUUUUUAAAUGUUUAAUUGAUAUGCUAUUUAAUAUAAUUUAUAUGUAUUUUGUUAUUAUUUUUAUAUGAAGUAGACUUCUAUGGAUCUACGAGUCGAAUCCAUGAGUCGAGUCUUUAGAACUUUGACGAGUUUAUGUAAACUCCCGAUCAAGUUUGAUAAUAUUAGUGUCAAGUUUACUUAUGGGAUGAGUGUGUAGCCACCCAUUAGUGAAGAUCUCUCUCUAUGUUUUAUCCCCCCUCAAUUUACCGAUAAUUAUAAUUCUCUUAAAAUAAAAUAAUAAAUUCUAAUUCACGUUUAGUAAAAUUCGAAUAAGAAAUGUAUUAAAAACUAAUAUACUUGCAAUCUUCCAAAAUAUUAUAUAAUCUCCAUAGAUUUAAAUAUGUUUUUGGUACUUGUAAAUUAGUCUUUUUUAUUUAUUUUUUAUCCUUUUGAAUGUAUUUUUUUAAUUUUAGUCCCCGAAAGUUGUUUUCAAAAUUUUAAUUCCUGUAAGUUUUUUGUUUAUUUUUAAUCCUUGUAUUGUAAGUUUAUGUUUUUUCGAUUUUAGUCCCUUUAAGAUUCUAAUUUAUUCAUUUGUAAUCUGCAUAAGUUCAUGCUUAAUUACAAUGCCCAAAAUCAUAUUGGAAAAAUACAAAUUUACAGGGACUAAAAAUAAAUAUAAAAAUUUACAAGGAUAAAAAUGGAAAAAACACAUACUUACCAAAACUAAAUAUGAAUAAUAUUUUCACAAAGAUCAAAAUUUAAAGAAAAUACAAACUUACAAAAAUAAAAAUGUAUUUAAAUCAUUUAAUAUGAUGAUUGAAAUAUUUAUCAUUCAACAUUGAGAUUUUAGUUAAUUGAACUAAUUGUAUUUAAAAGAGAUUUAAUUGAUAUGAAUUUACAAUUAAAGUGUGAAAAUUAAAAUUUAUCAACUAUUAUUUAUCAAUAAUCAAUGAUAAUGAGUUAAAAUCAUGAUUUAGACAUUCUUAAAUCAUCUUUUCAUGUCAGAUAACAGAAAAAAUAUUUUUUUAAGAAAAUAUUUUUUAGAUUCUUUGAAUGAAAAUUGAUUUUGAGGGUGUAAUAACCAAAAUGGAUUUUAAUGUCUAUGUACACUCAAUUUUCUAUUAUAAUUAGUUAUAUAUAUAUAUAUAUAAUUAAAAUUAAAUGGACAUAAUUAAAAUUAAGAUAAUAUGUGUAUAAUAUGCUAACAUGAAGGCAAUCGGAUUCAAUAAUGAAAUCAUCAAUCCCAAAUCUUUGAGCCAUUAGAAGGCUACCAACAUGGCUAGGGCCUUCCUUUCAUGGGUUUAAACGGGGAAGUGUUAGAUAAAGCCAUGACAAAGUGUCCUCUAUCAUCCGUGAUACAACAACCAACUUAAAAGAAUUUUCAUAUUCGCCAAAAGCAGCAUCAAUAUUGCAUUUUAAUGUCCUUAGAGGAGGAGGUUCCCACCUUACUACCAUCAGAUUUGCAUUGGGCCUUAAGUAUGACUUCUAAAUCACUCAAGCAUUUCUCCGAUCGUCGAGAAAUUCCUGAUCUUGAUAUACCUCAUGCUCAGUGCGCAAUCACUUACAACAAUUCUAUUUUACAUACAAGCUUAGUGCGACAUGCUAGGCUAACCGUGCAGGCACUUAUGCAGAAACAACAGUGCAACGCAUUUGACCCUAUUUAAGCUCCAAGGAUGCAAAUAGAAGGUAGAUAACUGGUUGGGGGACUAUCUAGGGUUUGAGGUUGCAGGUGCAAAGCUCUCCCUUUCCCUCCAUGUCUUCCCUACCAUUUCUCAUCAUCUAUUUUCUUCUUGUAGUUAGGUUUACCCAUUUUAGGGGUUGAUGUAGUUGAAUCCAUCCUGAUGCUUACAUUUUGAUUAUUAAUGUAUGUUUAUUGUUCAUUAUUAUGUGCUUUCCUCUAUGCAUUAAUAUUUGCUUUGGCUUGACCACCCUUUUCUUGAUGUUGUGGUUUGAAUUGUUAGUGGAAAAUGCUUUGAAAUUUAGAAAUAUAGAGGAACACCUAAUGCGUUUUGUGUCUAGAGAUAGAACAAAGCUUGUUAGUCAUCUUUUAACUCUUGUUUUUAAAGCAAGUCAUUUGGGUAGAUUAGUCAAGGGAUUGGUAGUUUGGUCAAGGGGCUUAGAUUCUUUCCAUCUGAGCGAUCGGGGUUUGAGUAUUUUUGUGAGUUGAUUAUUAUAAUUGUGCUUUGAACUAGAUUAGUGGUCUUUUUUAGCAUGAGGAGGUGGUUUAGUGAAAUCAACCCUAACUCUUUUAUUCUUUGUUAUUUUACUUCUUUUUAUCGCACUCCAAGUGUUCAUAAAAAUUUCCCAAAAAGAGUUUCUUGUUCUUUUUCUCUUGAACUUUAUGUUUAUUUCAUUUCUUGUUAUUUAUAUUGUUACAAUCAAAUUCUAAUUGUUGUUUCUGAAAGCCAUAGUUAGUCAAUAUUGCUAUUUUUUCGAGUAUGACGCAAGUGUCUAUGAAUACGGGAGUGGAAACAACGAAAUAGCGAAGGUUCGAGAGGAUGAGACGGUUUCAAAGUGAGUCAGCGCCAGAGGUUUAGAAAUACUAAAAAAAUGACUAACAUCAAUUUUAUUUAAAAAUCGAUGUUAUCUACUCAUUUGACAAAUCGAUUUUCAAAAACCGAUGUUAACUAAUUACAAACAACAUUGAUUUUUUUUUUUUAAAAAUGAUGUUAACAUUGUACUAACAACAUCAGUUUUCAAAAAACCGAUGUGAAGUUUCUGGUAGUAACAUCGGUUUUCAAAAAUCAAUGUUAAGAAGCUCCAAGUAUUUAAGGAAAUAUCACCGCGUAUAAUUUAACAUCUAUAUUUCUUGUGACCGAUGUUAAAUUGGGGAUGUUGAAUGCAUAUUUUGUUAUAGUGUGGGAUAUCUUGAAAAUCUAACCCUUUAUGUACACGUAUUUAUGGGUCAUAUGGUCCAUGGGCAUUGCCUUUUUAAUUAAGGGAAUGUUCAUCCGAAAUUACAUGGUAGUAAGUCCUUGAUAAUGAUUGGAUUACGUUAAGAUAAACUAUAUUCUUUAAUCUUCACAAAAAUGACAAGUAUAUAUGUAUUAAGAAAGUUUACGUCUAUUCAGCCCUAUAGAGGGAUAAAGGUCCACUCAGUCUUCAAUAUGAUCGAAGGGUAUUCGUCCAUACGAUACACAUGCCCCCUAAGCCUCAAUUCAUUAAGGGGACAAAUCAGAUUACUAUUAGCCAAUAUCAUACAAAGCAUACUCUUUUCUCUAGUAUUUUAGAGUGUGUUAUGUAUUAGCGGGUACUAAUGACCAUCUGGUCUUUUGUAGGACCAAUCAUUCAUCAAAGGGUAUUUGUCCAUAUGGUACCUUGCUCCCUUAGCCAAUAAGUUCUUAAAAAAAUGCAGAAUCUUGACAUAAUUGUCUUAUGCCAAAAGGUUUUCAUCCCUUCUCAUGAAUGUUGUAGUCAAAGGUGUUUGAUUUUCUCUAGAUAUCUCAUGUGUUGUAUCUAGAAGCAUGUUAGGAUGAGUUGCUUCAUUUUGCAGGUAGAAUCAUGAUAGUUAUAAGUUUCGAAAAUGAAGUGACACUAUUUUUCUAGACCAUUGAUCUCACAUGAUCCAAUGUUUGGGAAUAGUCACAAUAUUUGGGCCUCCAUAGGCCCAACCUCUAUGUAGACCACUUUCUCGUCUUUCUCCUUCCACACUUCAUUUUCUCAAACUUCAUCUUUCAUGCUACCAAGCACUAGUUUCUUUUUAGGAUGUAGUUAUUCAUUUACUCAUUUACUUUAAUUACUUUUUCAUCUAUUUAUUUCCUAUUUUCUAUUUAAUGAAAUGUCAACUUUAUGGUGAAGAUUAUUCAAUUAAAUGUCACAUUUGAUUUUGCACAUGUUUUAAAAUAAUUUAUAGGUGGUUGAGUAAGAUACGUGUUGUAAACCUCCUGAUAAAUGUCUUUGAUUUCAAUGGAUAAAAAAAGUCACAAUUAUUAUUUUUAUUUCCUUUCCAAUAAUUUUUUCAGACAUUUUUUUAUUUAUUUCAUGAUUAUUAUAAUUACAUGCUUAAAUAUGAACAUUUGAGUGUUUAGUUUUAUUUAUUUGUUUAAAAUAAUAAUAAUAAUUUUAAUACUAUUAUCAUGAUUUUAACUUUAUUUAUUUUUUACUUAGUGAAUUUUAUAAUCUAUGAAAAUAUUGUGCAUGUGUGUAUUUCUAGAAGUAGAAGGGAAAAAUGUAUAUAUAUAUAUAUAUAUAUAUAUAUAUAUAUACACACACACACACACACUAGUAUUAGAGCAUAGGCAACCAGAUUUAUUGUAAAUUAUCACAAAUUAUAAUUAUUAUAUGAUUGAAUUUAAAGAAAAACUAAUUUUACAUUGUAUUGCUAGGUUACAGUUGAGACUAUUAAUCUUGCAUCAAAAACAUGUUUCUUGGAUACUAUUGUGUUGCAGCUAUAUAGAAUAGAAUUUCUUCUUUUAAACUUUAUUUGUUUAAAAAGGGUGUUGCUAAGAGGAGUGAGGAGAUUGAAUUUGUUGGUAUUGCACAUUUUCUUGAGCUUCCAACCCCAGAAAUGUUGCAAGGACUAUAGGUACCAUUAUCUUGUUGUUAUUUCAUGUGAUAUUUAAUAUAUUAUCUUGAAUUUAAGCUUCUUUGUACAAAUUACAUACAAAUGCAGUUGUUGUAUUAACUUGUUUGACAAAAUUUGUACUUAUACUCCAAAAAUGCAAAAUAACAAUUUGAUAUGUGUAAAACUAUUUUGAAUAAUUGAAGUACUAAUACAUGAGUAAUAUAAUUUACCAAUUGAAGAUCAAAGUUAACCUGAUUAUUGAGGAUGUAUUUCAUAUUGAGGAUGUAUUUCAUAUUCUGCACUAUGAAAAUUGUAUCUAUAGUUGACAUAUUUUUGCCCGUAAAUUAAGUAUAAAUUUUCUUACUUGCUUUAAACAUAAAUUUCAUAUUUUUAAUUCUAUAUGUUGUUUCUAUCUUUAAAAAAAUGUUCAUCUCCACAAAUUAAGUAUAGAUUUUGUUACUUGUCUUAAAAAUAUGAUUUUCAUAUUUUUAGAUAAUCUAUUGGGAGAAGAAGAGAAAAGAAAAACUCCACCUCAUAAUUUUACAUAUAAAUUCUAGACAUUAAUUUGACUUAUACUUGGUAUUUUAAAUAAAAUAAAAUAUUCAAUGAAUUAGUUAAGUGAAAAGAAAAUAAGCAAGAAAUAAACCAAAAAACAUUUCCAUUAAUCUCAUUAGUUAUAUUUUAUUAAUCUUGACCUGAUUGGGUUUUGUUAAAAUUGGUGACUCAAGAAUUAGUUAACUUUCAACAUCGUUUCUCGCCAGCACUGAUGUAGUAACCUGUGCUUUCAAUAUCGUUUCUCGCCAGCACCGAUGUAGUAACCUGGGCUUUCAACGUCGUUUCUCGCCUUAGCAAUGAUGUAGAAAUAUCCGAUUUCUACAUCGUUGCUUACGCCAGCACCAAUGUAAAAAAAUUAGCAACCUGCAUAGUAAUUAAUCAAUAUAUAUGCUUGAUGUAAUAAUUGUUUAUAGAUAAAAACUGAGAAUGAGUGGUAAAAAUUAUCUAUAUUUUUAAUAAUUAAUAAAUAUAAUAAAAUAAUAAUUAAUUAAAACCUAACAAUGAGUAAUAAAAAUUAUCUAUAUUACUAAUAAUGAAUAAAUAUACUUAUAUAAUAUUAAAUUAAGUAAAAGCUAACAAUGAGUAAUAAAAAUUAUGUAUAUACAAUGAGUAAUUGAUGUUAAAAGAGGGUUAAUUAAUUACCUCUGUGUUUUGUUGCCACACCAAAGUACUAAAAAUGAAUAAUUGACCGAAGGUGAUGGCUGAAAAAUUCUAUGUUAGAUUGAUAUAAUUUCAUCAAGCAUCAAUGCAGAGCCAUAGACAGACUAUAGAGUGGGUUCAUUUGAGUCUUUCUUCCAGAAGAAUCUUCGAAUACCCAUUUUUGAAAGCUGCAAUCUACAAGCAUAUACAACAACAACAAUAACAACGCCUUAUCCCACUAGGUGGGGUCGGCUACAUGGAUCAACUUCCGCCAUAAUGUUCUAUCAAGUACCAUACUUCUAUCCAAAUCAUUUAGUUCGAGAUCCUUUUUGAUAACCUCUCUUAUAGUCUUUUUGGGUCUUCCUCUGCCUCGAAUUGUUUGCCUUCUCUUCAUCUGGUCUACUCUCCUCACUACAGAGUCUACCGGUCUUCUCUCUACAUGCCCAAACCACCUAAGUCUAUUUUCCACCAUCUUCUCUACAAUAGGCGCUACUCCAACCCUCUCUCUAAUAGCUUCGUUUCUAAUUUUAUCCUGUCUAGUCUUACCACACAUCCACCGCAACAUCCUCAUCUCCGCUACACCUACUUUAUUCUCAUGUUGGCUCUUGACCGCCCAACAUUCUGUUCCGUACAAAAUCGCCGGUCUUACCGCAGUCCGAUAAAACUUUCCCUUUAGCUUGAUCGGUACCUUUGCAUCACAUAACACCCCCGAUGCUUUUCUCCAUUUCAUCCAUCCUGCUUGAAUGCGAUGAUUCACAUCCCCUUCAAUUUCUUCAUCAUCCUGUAUUACAGACCCAAGAUAUUUAAACCGUGUGACUUGAGGGAUAAUAUGGUCUCCUAUUUUCACCUCUGAGUUAGAAACCCUCCUUCUUUUGUUGAACUUACAUUCCAUAUACUCCGAUUUGCUUCUGCUUAGGCGAAAACCAUGUGUUUCUAGAGCUCGUCUCCAAGUUUCCAACCUCUCAUUCAACUCCUCCCUCGACUCUCCGAGGAGGACUAUGUCAUCUGCAAAAAGCAUGCAUCUCGGCGCUAUCUCUUGGAUUUGUUCCGUGAGGACAUCCAGAAUUAAGGUAAAAAGGUAGGGGCUAAGGGUUGACCCUUGAUGCAAACCAAUUGUGAUGGGAAAAUCGUCUGACUCUCCACCCUGUGUCCUAACACUAGUCGAUACCCUAUCAUACAUAUCUUGGAUAGCUCGAAUUUAUUAGGGUAUAUAUGUAUAUAUCAUUUGUCACCUUAACAUUCAUAAUGUUUGAAGUGGACUUUUCCACCUUAUUAUAUAUACCAACAAUAAUCUCACAUGCUGCUCCCAGCUAUAAAUUCUCUUAAAUUUGCAACUGUGCUUUGAUAUGAUUCAAGAGUGGAUAAGGAACAAUCCUAAGGCCUCCAUUUGCACUGCUGAAGGAGUAAACCAGUUCAAAUAUAUUGCAAACUUUCAAGACUAUCAUGGAUUGCCAGAGUUCAGAAAUGUAGGCUAACUAAUUAAUUUGUGACUAUAUAUGAUCACAAUGAUUUGGAACAUGUUUUAGCUAGGAAACUAAACUAAAAUUGAUAUUUUAUCAAUUAUCAUCAUAUCAUAUAAUAUUAAUAUAUGGAUUUCCGUAGUUUUAAGCAGGCUGUGGCAAAUUUCAUGUCAGAAGUGAGAGGUGGGAGAGUGAGAUUUGAUCCUGACCGUAUAUUGAUGAGUGGAGGGGCCACAGGAGCAAACGAGCUAAUAAUGUUCUGUUUGGCUGAUGCUGGAGAUGCUUUUCUGGUUCCUAGCCUUUAUUAUCCAGCAUAUGUGCCCUCUCUUUCAUCACGCCUGUUUUCAUUCAAUGAAUCACACUAUUUCACACCCAUCAAAACGUUAAAAGUGGACACAAAUUAAAGCAACCACAAAGAGUAAUAACUAUUUUGUCUUCAUUAAAAGGGUAUAUACCUGGCGGUGGCUUCAUUGAAGUGGUGCUCAGAAUUGUAAAUUAUUCAACAAAAUUUUAGUUUUUAACCAUAUUAAACCUUAUUAAUCGUGUGGAUGAAAAUAGUGAAUCAACUAAUCAAGCCAAAGUUCUGGCAUGAAUCCUUAACUAUAGUACCUGAUGUUUGGCUAUUAUCAACUUUGUUCCAAGCUACUCGCCCUCACUCAUCAGGAUCACAAAUUUCAUUAGUGGUUAUGCUUGAUAUGCCCUCUCUUUCAUUAGCGGUUAUGCUUGAUAUGCCCACCUUUCAUAGCAUAUGUAAUAAUUAAUACCAUAAUUUAUGAUAAAAUGAUAAUAUAAAAUUAUCAUGUACAUUAAAAUCUUUAAAUAAUUUGUUUCGAAGUUUAGUUUGGAGCAAUAUUCUUUAGCUAAAAAUUAGAUUAGACAAAAAGUGUAAAAAUUGUAACUAUAAAACAGCUAGCAAACUUUGUAACCAAAAUAACUUAAAUACACACUUCAACAUGCAAAAAUUGCUUAUAUACCACAUAAAAACACAAACUCAAAAAGAACUAGAGUGAUAUUAAAAUAGUCCCAUAUAAAAGUUACUUUGUCUUCAGACUAAAUGAUGACCAUCAUAUAUCCAAAUUCAUUCAUAGUAUAUAAAGGUUAAAAUAAUUAGUUAAAAAAAAUUGUCAUCGUGAGACAUUGGCUGUUAUCAAACAAGGAUUCACCAAAGGCUAGGCAGUGAUUAGAAUCAUCAUCAUUGAAGACUUUCCAUGCAACAACCUGUUUAGAAGUUGUAUGAGUUCGCUCAAUUUCAUAAAUAAUACUAUACUUUUUUUAUCUUUUUUUUUAUUAGUAACAAAAGAUAAAAAGUCACCAUAAAUUAACGUUCUUGAAAAUAAUUGAAUAAAUGAAUAUUGAGAGUUUCUUUAAACUCUUCAUAUCAUAUUCUAUGUAUUAUUUUUCAAUCAUUCUCACUUUCACAAUUUAAUUAAGUACCAUGCAUUAACAACUGCGAAAAAAAAAUAACAAACGUGAUCUCCAUUCCCAUGUUUAUGUUUAUCUCUAAUUCAAAUUAUACCCAUUAUUGUGCAACAAACUAGACCAAUAAAGUCAUAAGAAUAAAAAAAGAAUUUAUAAUGCAAAUAGAUCUAAGAUUAAUGAAGAGAAAAAAUAGCAAUCAAAUAAUUCCGUCGAAUUAAAGAAUUGUGACGGACUCUAACAUUUUGACUAUGAUAAAAAAAAAAAAACUUCUUUCAAUGGAAAGUUUUAUAAUGGGAGGUGAGAACUAAUUAACUUUGUGUUUUAUGUAAACUAGCAAGUAUUUGGUAGAAUGUACAAGCUUAUAUAUAAAUAUAUGUGAACUAUAAACUAUGUUGGGAAAUAAAUAUCUAACGUGUUAUCCAUAAUUUUUAAGAAUAUUAGUCAUUACUUUUGAAAUAAGUUAUUUCGUAUUAAUAUUAUGGUAAAAAAAAUAUGAACUAUAAAAAAUACAAAUGUAAAAAUUAUCUAGACAUUAUUUUUUUGUUAAUAUAUAAAUACAGAAAUGAUAAUAUAAACAUGAAAACGUUUUAAUUUUUGAAAAACAUAUAAAAAAAAUAAUUAAUGUAAUAGUAUUAUACUGAAGACUUGCAAAUUAGUAUUUUAUGAUGCUUGUUGCUUCACAUAUUAAUUUAAUUAAAAAAAAGAAAUUCAAUUUGUUUGCAUAACUAAUUUGUUCCUCUCUUUGAUAAACAAACAAAAAUUGUUAUAUCCUCUUUAUUUCAUUUACAGAUUUUAUUGUUCAUUAUUAAUGUUAUAAGAAAUAUAUUUAAGUGAAAAAAAAGAAGAAAAAAAUUAUUUAAGAUUUCAUUUUUUAUUUUUACACGAUUAUUAUAAUAAGACAAAAUAAAUAUCCUGAAUUGGAAACUACAUUUAUGAUAUAAGGGAUUGACAUAAUUAAUUGUUUCUUCCACAUUUGCUCUUAUUUAACAUAACUUAGAUAAAUAUAUAUGGAUUAUUCCACAACUACUCUCAUCAUAAAUAUCAAAUGAUGAUAUUUUAGGUUAAAUAUAUAGUUUGUAAGUACUAUUCAUUAUUUCUUAAACUUUGCAUAUGAACUUUGAAAAUCAAUAGUUUAGGUCUAGAGAAAAAAUUUAAUAUAUUUUGGAUUCAAAUGCAAAAGUGACUUAAAUAAGUCUUUAAGAACUUCGAUAGGAGGACUCUUUCAAACAUUCUCUAUAAUGUGUUAUAAUUUAUUGAAAACUAUAAAAUUAAAAAGAAAUAAUUAUUAAAUACCAUGUGAGAUUCAUAAAAGUUUUCUAUUUUUAGUAAAUAGAAAUCAAGAAGAAAAAUUGUGUUAAAAAAAUGGUCAAGAUCACAUUAUCUUUUAUGGGAAGUAAUCAUAUUCCAAAUGUAGAAAAUUGAUUAUAACUAUACUGAGUUACUUUUCUACAUAUAUUAUAAUUACAACCUAUGUCAAAUCAAAAUCAUUAUUUUUGGUAAAUAGUUGUCUAAAUCACUUAUUUGAUAUAUAGUUUUACGUAAUCACGUAAUUUGGUAAAAUCUUAUUUUUGAAAAAAAUAAUAAGGUGUUAAUGGUUUAUUAUUUAGUUUAAAAAGUUUAAAAUAUUGAUUUAUUUAAAACUAGAUGCAUUUUUACCAAUUUAUUUAGAGAAAAAAAUUGCUAGAAGGAACACUUUCGUCCCUUUAAUUAUGUAAAAUUAAUCCACAUCAAAAGAACAACAAAUAAAUUCGUUUCCACUACGCGUGGUAGACUUUUGGUUCUCUAAUAUUUACAUCUCCUACUGAUAUAAAUAUAUGAUAACCAAUGUCCAACUGGCUUCAUAUAUUUCUGUAUAGGGUAUCUUUGGUAUUUUCUUUAAAUACAAUAUAUUUCCUCAGCCGACAAAAGAAAACUAAAAAAAUGCAAGUCAAUGAUUUUGUAAAAAUAAAAUAAAAUUUGAAGUUAUCGAUACACACUAUUUGGUAUAUGUUUUAGUUGUUUUUCAUAAAAGAAAACAUUUCUGUAAUGGUGUCAAUAAUUGAUAGUAGUUUAAUUAAAAUAAGUGAAAAAAUUUAAUAGUGCAUAAAAGGUGGCGAAAAGAAUGCAAGUUUGUAUAAUUCAACAAGUUUAUCAAUGGAAAAUACAGUGAAUUUAUCCGGUUGUAAUAAAAAAUAAAAUAUAUUUUUGCACUCUUGAAAUAUUUCAAAAUGUCAGUUAUAAUUCUUAAUUAUAAAAAAUAAUAUUCUUUUAAUUUCUACAUUUAUAAAAAGAAAGUGAUGUGAUUUCACUCACCCAGAGUGACCAGAAACAUAUGUUUCUGUGAAAAUAUAGGGAUUAAAACCUUAUUUUGAAAUAUUUAAAAGAAUAAAAAAAACAUUUUUAUCAAAAAAAUCACUUGGAUAGGAUUUGAUGAUUUAAAAAGAUAAAUAAAUGAAUAACAAUCUAUCUAUUCUAUUUUCAAAUUUAAUGGAUCAUCCAAUUAACACUAUAGAAUAAAACUAGUUAAACAAUUUUUUAUAUAUAUAUUUCAAUUUCCUUUAAAUUAUUUAUAAAAAAUAUUUUUCCAUAUAUUAUUUUAUAGUACUUAUUCAUAGGAGUCUCUAUUGGAUGGAAUAAUUCAUGUACUUGAAUUGACCAAAACCCUUUAAUAUGAAUUUUGUUGUUAUUUCGGUAGAAGCCAAAACUGUAUUUCAAAUAAAUAAGAAAGUGUUAAUAACCAUUAUUUAAUUUUAAAAAGUUUUAGGUAUUAAUUUGAUAAAAUAAAAAAAUAUUUCUUAAAUGUUAAUUUUAGAAAGAAUAGUCUAAACGAACACUUUCGUUCUUUAGUCAUGUAGAUUAAUUCAUCUUAAUGACAACUCACAAAUUUAUUCUGUGGAUUUCAUACAUAAAUUAAAACUCCGGAAGAAAAAAAAAAAUCUAUAUGACAAUGAUAAUUGAUAUGCAGAACUAGAAGGAUUAAUUAGUGUUAUUGACCUAAGUUUUAUCCCAUGUUUGCAAACUGUAUGAGUUUGCUGAAUUUCAUAAAUAAUACUAUAGUUUUUUUAUAUCUCUUAUUGUUGUGAUUAGUAACAAAAGAUAAAAAGCUAUAUGUUAAGGUUCUUCAAAAUAAAUUGUAUAAAUGAAUAUUGAGAAUUUCUUUAAACUCUUCGCAUCAUAUUCCGUGUAUUCUUUCUCAAUCAAUCUCACUUUCACAAUUUAAGUACCACACAAAAAAUUGGGGGAAAAAAUAAACUUGACCCGUGUAUAUAUUUAUCUCUAAUUAACCCAAAUUAUACUCAUUAAUUAUUGUGCUGCAAACUAGACCAAAAAAUCGUAAGAAUAAAAAAAAAGUUAAAAAGGAUAUACAAUGCAAGCAUAUGUAGAUUGAUAAAGAAGAAAAAGAAAACAGUGUAUUUGUAUAUCUUUCAAACCGAACAGCUAGCUAAAGGUUGGAAAUAAAAUUUAGAGUAAAAUAUAUAAAUACUUACUGAGAUUUCGUUAAAUUUCUCUUGAUACUCCUUAUUUUAAUUUUAUUUUUUAAAAAAAAUAUAAAUUUGUUAAGAUUUCAUAUAUUAAACAUGUUUAAUUUUAUUAUUUAUUUAUAUUUAGUUAUGAUUAAUUUGACUUGUUGGUUCAGUUUAAAGCCAAGAUACAUAAAAAAUAUAUAUAUAAAGCCAUUAUGAACCAUCAAAUUUUCAGCCAAAGAAAAAUUAAAGUUGACCAACAUGGUCUAGUUUCACAUUCUAGCCUAUGCGCUGUCCAAUUUGCCUCGUACCUCUAGAAAUAAUUGCACCAAUUGUCUCUAUGCAUUUUAUUUAAGUAUGCAACAAAGGCAUACGUCACUUUGUUUGCGCAGUGUGAAAACAAAGGCAUAUAUGUCACUUUGGAUCCCAUGUAUAUGCUAAAAGUUGUUUCUUCAUAAACAUCGAUCCAUAACUUGUGGAUCCCAUGUAUUUAAUAUAGUAAGACCUGAAUAAGAUGAUUUAAUUAAGAAGACUUUGAUUAAUUAAAAUGUUUAUCCAAAGAAGGUUAGUUACAUGUUCACACACAUAAAACAAUAAUUAACUAGAAAUAUUGUAGUAGGAUUUAACAGAUAUUUAAAAAUUUGAUCCAAUCAUCUAUAUAAGAGGAAGGAGUGGUGUCCAAUAUAAUCACACCAACCAAAGCCACAAAAGAAAAGCAAUAGCAAUAGCAACAGCCCAUAUAAAAUAUAAUGGCCGAAACCUGCGACUCCAACAAUAAAGUGAUCCGUGAAUACCAUAGUGAUGACUCCUUUAUGUCAAGGUGUGACAUCUUUACUGAUGUUACCGAGUACCAACUGUGUCUGGCAUCUGCCAGAGAAUCUGGUCAAGGAAAGUUCGAACCUAAGUGGGACACAAAGAUAGUCACUCCCCACCUUAUCGAGCAGUUCAAGCUAAAUUGUGCUGCCUCGAAUCUGCCAGUCAAAGUGUUUGUCAGCAUUGGAGGAAAAGACCCCUUCAAAGUGGUUGCUGGUGGUGCCGAUGAUUGGGUUCUCAAUGCCACAACCACACUCCACCACAUGAUCAACGAGUACCACAUCGAUGGAAUCGAUGUUAAGUACGCCAGAAUCCUGUGCAACAAAGAUAUGUUUGUUAACUGCAUUAAGGAUCUCAUAAGGGGCCUAAGGGAAGCUCUAUGCACCACUGGGUUUGUGGCUUCCUUAGCUCCAAAUGCUGCCACCAAUGAGGCUUUCUACUUGCCCUUGUACCGAUCUAUUGAUAAUUCUUGGAUUGGAACUGUUGUGUUUCAGUGCUUCGUUGAUUUCGAACCUAAAGAUCCUAACAGAUCAGUUGAAAUCUUGGUGCGCCAGGUUGAGAAGAUAGUGGAAGAGUAUGAUUAUUAUGACUCUAAGAUCUUGCUUGGCUACAGCGCCAUUAAGGAGGAUUGGAAUAAAGUUUCACCACCCCUCUUCUUUCUUGCUCUCAAUCGCCUAGUGCAUUCUUGGCCUAGGGUUAAGGGCGCAUCUGUCAAGGUUAUUAGUGACAACAUUGCCUUCAUUCCCCCAACGUGGAUCCCUAAACUCCUGUCUUUGGCCGUCUCCGAUGUUGGAAAAUAUCCUUAAUUGAAGAUCCAUAAUUAUUAAGUUCU
This 84170-nucleotide long non-coding RNA is filed under the name Glycine max (soybean). RNAcentral describes it as "long non-coding RNA (GMAX_LNC000497)". The record is from RNAcentral. Lineage: Eukaryota; Viridiplantae; Streptophyta; Magnoliopsida; Fabales; Fabaceae.